RNAcentral lists this long non-coding RNA (88098 nucleotides) under Hordeum vulgare. Its description in RNAcentral is "long non-coding RNA (HVUL_LNC009675)". Lineage: Eukaryota; Viridiplantae; Streptophyta; Magnoliopsida; Poales; Poaceae. The record is from RNAcentral.
GAUGUGCUUGUCCGGUAUCCAGCAUGUUGCACCGAAAAAAGAUGGUGCUAUAAUUGGCCAGUGACUAAGUUGUACCAUUCCUUGAACAAACUUAUAUUCGCUCGCGAUAAGAUGUCUAUGGCUCAUCUACAAGAUGGGAACAAAAGGAACAGCUUCAGCAUAGUAUGCUAUCUUAACUGCCACUGUACCUAUCAACCAGAUGAACUAAUUUGAAGAAUGCAGGCCACUGAAAAAAUUAAGCCUCUGUAACAUAGGGAGUCUCAGUGAUGAACCUUUGUGUGUUCUCGUUUUUUAUUUUGAGAGUGUUGUUUCUUUGAAAUGAGAGUGGAGUUCUUGCUCCUCCCCAAUCCCAAAAUCCUCAUGUAACUAUAUGCUACUCUCUGUAACUGCUUGAUGCUGUGAUAAUAUAUGUUCAGGCCGGCGUAAGCCCAUCGUUGUGAUAACUGCUCUAUAUUAUUCUUAUUCAGUCAAAAACUGUAAUUAUGAGUCAUAAACUGUAGCUACUACACUGCUCACAUUAAUCUUCGUAUUUGGUUUCCUUGUGUAUAUUCAGUUUUGAUGUACAGAAACUACAACGAACCAUAUUCAGUUUUGAUGUUCAGGUGCCUACUAAUUUCAUGAGGCUCAUGUUCAGGUGCCUACUAAUUUCACGAGGCAGUGUAACUACCAUGUGCCUAAAUCUGACCCUGCAUAGUUUUUUUAUUGCUCAACUAAUCUAAUUUUAUUUCGUUGUUCCUUGUUUUCUAUUUUUAUUUCAAUCAGUCGCAGAUUACAGUCUUAAUUAAUGGGAUGAGGAGAAAGUGGAAGCAAUUGAUUGUUGGUACAUUCUUCUGCGAUCUGCACCGCGCUAUUCCGAAUAAGGAGAUGCGUCAAGUUUAAAGCAACAAAUGUGUGUCUAUAUAUAAAAGCAACCCAGGUUAUAAAUUAAUAAGUUAAUUUUGUUGCUAUCUGUUCCAAUGAAAUCUUGGCAAAGAUUUGCUUUCACAUACACAACCAAUCAUGAAUGUAAGCAUACCCAUCUUUAUAGCCCUACAGAAUUAUUUAUUUUCUGUUGUUGGACAAAGUUUUUUACAAAAUCAUGCUACUAUAUACCAUAUGUUUUAAUUUUCAUGUAGAUGGUAGGUAGGUGGAUUGAGUGUCUAUCUGGUUUUGGAGUACACUGUUGUUACAGCCGAGCCCUUGCCCUAGCUCUCUUUUUCUUGCUGGAGGUAGAAGAAGAAGAAAAGGUCUAGCUCUCUCUCUCUCGCUGGAGGUACAAGAAGAAGAAAAGGGGACACAGGAGGUUUUCUGGCGCACGAACGCCACAAACGCAACCACGGCGUUUUCCUUGAGCACGUACUCAACACCCCACCGUUACAACGAUCGCCAUAACGUAUUUAUACCCGGGCCAAUGCGGGGCCAUGACCCGCACGCACCUGCCCACUCCAUCGCCUGGUCCGGCCUGCUGCAUGCGCGCCCACGACGCACUCUCCGCCACUCCACCGCCUGGUCCGGCCCGCUGCAUGCGUGCCCACGACGCACUCUCCGCGCCAAGCCCUCAACAGACCAACGCGAUGACGCGUCCCCGAUCGCCAACGGCUUCUAUCUACAUGCACGCCUACGGUGUACACGCACACGGACAGCCCCGUGCACCACACGCACGCACGCACACACACCUACACGUGGACCUGACAUGCCCGACGCGCGCCCAUACACGCGCCAGACACGUCCAACCCGUCGCCGCGGCUUAUUCAGCCCAACACUCACCCCCUAAGUCGCGGCUCAGAGCAGGCCGUCGUCUUCGACGCCGACGUCCGCCAACAGCGCGCGCUCCUUCCACAGCUGGGGCACUCCCUCUUGAAGUGGCCACGCUCGUCGCACUUGUAACAGCGGCCGCGCCUAUUGCCACCGUUCCCCGACGCCACGCUCCUGCCGUCGUCAUCGUCCCGAGCACCACCGCGCCGCCGCUCCCGUGCUCGCCACUGCGCCGCCGUUUACAUGAGCUGGCCGUCCGCCCGCCUGUCCACGCCGUCGCAGCCGUUCGUCAAAGGCCUUCAGGCGACCGAGCGCGUCCUCGGACGGCAUGUGGAGGCAUCGCAAAACUGCUCGAUUCCGGCCACCGCCGUGUACAAGCGUUCCGGCAUGAAGUCGAGGAGCUUUUUCAUGAUCGCGGUGUCGUCCAGCGUCGACCCGAGUCCCACGAAGCGCGCCGCCAUGCCGCCGAGCUUGCUGGCGAACCCAUCCAGCGUGUCGGCCUCCGUCAUGCGCAGCAUCUCGAACUCACCUCGGAGAGUGCCCAGCCGCGCCGCCCGGACUCGGUCCGCGCCGACGAACCUCGCCUUCAAGCUAGCCCAUAUUUCUGCCGCCGUCUUCAGAGAGCGCGCGGAACAAGUACGCUCGCGCCGACUUGUCCUUCUUGGCGAUCACGGCCACCGCCACGUCCUCCGCCGGUUCCACCGCCUCCCAUAGCCCGAUAGCGUCCAGGUCGGCCUCCACCUUGAUCGCCCAAGUGGUGUAAUUGUCACCAGAGAGCAAUGGGACAGGCUGCGAGAACGAACUCCCCGAUCCGCCAGCGUACGGGACGAGCGCCAUCGCCGGCGAACUCCCCCGAACCUGAUGCUCUGUAUACCAAAUGUUGUUACAGCGAAGCCCUUGCCCGAGCGCCAUCGCCGGCGAACUCCCCCGAACCUGAUGCUCUGUAUACCAAAUGUUGUUACAGCGAAGCCCUUGCCCUAGCUCUCUCUCUCGCUGGAGGUGGAAGAAGAAGAAAAGGGGACACGGGAGGUUUCCUGGCGCACGAACGCCACAGCCACUACCACGGCGUUUUCCUUGAGCACGUACUCAAGACCCCACAGCUACAACAAUCGCCGCAGCGUAUUUAUACCCAGGCCAAUGCGGGGCCAUGUCCCGCACACACCUGCCCACUCCACCGUCUGGUUCGGCCCGCUGCAUGCGCGCCCACGACGCGCUCUCCACGCCAAGCCCUCAACAGACCAACGCGAUGACCGCGUCCCCGAUCGCCAACGGCUUCUCUCUACACGCACGCCUACGGUGUACACACACACGGACAACCCCAUGCACCACACGCACGCACGCACACACACACACACCUACGCACGGACCCGACGCACCCGACAUGCCCGGCGCGCGCCUAUACACGCGCCAGACACAUCCAGCUCAUCGCCGCGGCUUAUUCAGCCCAACAUACACUACUACAGGAGAUGAUGAGAUUAGAGCAGCAGGAGAUGAUGGAAUUUUCUUAAAGUUGUAGACUGAGAUGUAGAUUACUAAAUUUAUCUUAAUUGUUUACUUCAGUUUUGCAGAUUUGGAUACCGUAUAUGUUUGAUUGAAGGACUUCACUAGGGGGCAGCGCCGCAUUUUAGUCCUCCCGGCUAGCUUCCAUCCAUUCAUUGCAUGCAUGCAUGCAACAUUACACAAGUACGAUAUUACUAAAUAUUCUUUUGAUUUUACAUUUAAUUUUUUUUAUCUCCCAAACCGUCAUCUCAAUUAAUGAUCCGCUUUCACCACUCACUUUUUCGCGACGAGAUCUUCAAAACUAGAUCCCAUGUCGACAUGUUCUGAUAACUUUUGUUUUCGUUGGUACUUGCCAGAUUAUUAUCACUUAAUUGUCACAUUAUUUGUUACAUAGUUCUCACAUUAAAUCAACUUGAUUAUCAGGUUUAUGAAUGUCGAUAUACCCUACUAAAAAACUUGAUUCAUUGUACUUGUGCUCACUCAUGCAUUUACUUGCUUAUUGUUAGUGUUUUAACACCCACUUUUUAGCUUCACAUAACAUUGCAAUGCGUAAAAUGUAUAAAAGUGUUGUCCUCAUAACUAUGUCUAAUUUUUAUGACAACUAUAUACCCAUAAGAUGACAACUAUGAUGACAUAAAUAUGAUAACUAGGAACGACGAAAAAAAAUCAACGAAACAUGUUAACAUGGGAUCUUAUAUUGAAGGUCUCGCCGAGACAAACCUAACGGUGAAAGCGAAUCUCGAAUCAAAUUAUUAAUCUGUAAGAUAAAUCAUUUUUAAAAAUCAAAAAAUCAUUUAAUGUGAUGAUGUAAGCAUAAGGUGGAAGAUUUUUGCAUGCAUAUGGGGCUGUGCGAGCCGCUGCAUGGAAGAGCUGUAGUGUGGCGCUUCUCUUUAUAAUUUCUCUUGAUUGAAUCAGUGCUCAUAUCGUCCAUCUCAUUUUGAAGCAGGUAUAUGUGCAUUAGUUACAGUUUUGUUAUCGUCGAUAUGCAAAUCAAUCAGACUUCAGGUUGAGUCGUUCAUAUGAUUUUCUAUUUCACCUUUCGAUCAUAGAUUCCUUGCUUUUCUGUAUUACAAUCACAAAGUAUCAAUUGGCCCACCAAAGAAGCCAUUAUAGCUGUUACUAGGUUACAAAUAUACCAAGUUAAUAGGGAACAAUUAUUCAUAGUUGUUCAGCUACAACAUAUGCCAUGAAUUGACUUAGUGAAAUCCGUUUAUUUUGGGGUACUUAAUUAAACCAUGAUUAGUAAUGGAAGGAUAGACAUGGAUGUGUUGCCACACCAGCUUGAGGAAAAAAUUGCGGUUGGAAGAGGGGACAUCAGGGGGACUAGAAGCUACAAAGUAUGAUGCUGGAUAUGCUGGCCUGCGGCAGCGCGACUAUGCCAUGUACCAUCCACACUCGAAGGGAUCUAAAAAUGGUACGAUCCAGUCAAGCCUCUUUCACUUUCAGCCCAAGCUUCAAGUGCAAGCCAACAGUUUUUCUUAUUUACUAUCCAACUGAGUGGGAGGUGUUCUGAACUAAAAGAUUGCAGUUUCAAUCAGACUCGGUGGCCGCUGGCAUCCAUGAGGCUGCAACUAAAGGAACUAUGGCCGGUUGUUGUUGAACCUGCUGACAUCUUUGAUAUUCGUUGACAGUCCUUCCUAGGACCACUCAGCAGGCAAGUAAUUCCACAUCCUUAAAGUUAUAGCCUGACCUACUCAUAUAACUAUCUCUAAUACCCUAUCCUAAACGUUGAUGUUACAUGCAAACUUCGUAAAGCUAGAUAUUUUGUGAGUGAAGAGCUUACUGAAAUAAAUUUGGAUGGCUUAACUCGAGUUUUUAAUCAAGUUAUUUUACUAUAAAUCUUCAGUAUAGAACCAUACAACAGUUCUGAACUUUAUGUAGUUCUAAAUUUUUUGGCGAGAAAUAUGUAGUUUCUAAUUUUCAUAUGCCUGAAAUAUGUACAGUAGACAUCAUGGUUCGAGUCGACUAAUGGCAUUGCACAAGUUUGGUUGUAGCAUGUCGAUAGUCAAGAUGGUGGCAGCAUGCUGGGUCAAGCCAUCAACAUGAACGACCAAGACUGUGCACAUACACAAGGACUCUAGAUUGAUAUUUUUGAGUUGUUCGUGCGCUGGUGGUUCUGUCGACGCUUCACAUGGUUGCAUCUUACAGGUUAUGACCGUCUCGCCGAAGAUGCAACUAUCUUCCCGUUGCAUUGGUGUGGACAUGUGCCUCGUUUCAAUGCUUCCACUAGUAGAAAACAUGGCUUUGGUUUGGGCCUGGCCAGCCCAUUAGUCCUGGUUCUUCACGAACCAGGACCCGUGGGGGGCAUUAGUCCCCGUUCAUGACCCCAGGGGGCCGGCCGGGGCCUCGUGGGCAUUGGUCCCGGUUCGUCUGGACCCAUUUGUUCCGGUUCUAGGCAUGAACCGGGACCAAUGGGCCGUGCUCCUGGCCCACAUCCAUUGGUACCGGUUCGUGCCUUGAACCGGUUUAGAAGGGGGGGGGGCUUUAGCCCCGGUUUAUGCCACGAACCGGGAUAAAUAAUUUGGCUAUAUAUACCCAUCGCCGCGACAGAGCACUCUGUUUUUUCUAGCCGGCGAGGGGAGAGCAUUUGGGGUGCUCUAGCUCACCUCCUAUGCACAUGAGGUGUUCGAUGAAAUGCCCGAGCCACACUAGUUAAGCUUUCUCCUCUCGAAGCUCGACCUCGGAGCUCCAUUUUUUCCGAGAUUUGUCUAGAUUUAGCGGUCCGUCACGCCCCGUCCCCGUUUUCACCGCUGGGGCACGUCCAUGUGUAUGUCCGCAAUGUCGUCUGCAAGCUCCUCCGCAGACACUGAGGUAAGUCGAUUUGGAUUUUCGGUUGACAUUGGAUUUGGGGAUUUCUCAUCUAGGGUUUCGCGGGAUGGGCCGUAAUAUGCGCCUUUCUGGCUCGUAGGUGGAUGGCUGCGGGAUUGUGCAGUUCCAAUCCGAGUUUUUCAUUCCCAAUCCAAGUUUCUACGGCCUUGAGGAGCGCUCGAAUCACCGUUGCCUGGGUUAUGGGCUAAUUCCUGCUCGCCGUGUUUCUUGGGGUGGAGCAAGCACGGGAAGAAGGUUUUUGGGUUGUCCACUCGAUGUAAUUCCUCAAAACAUCAUUUGGUACUCUGUUUUCAUCGAUUUAUUGCAAAGUUAUGAAUUUCACCUAAUUAUGUGAACUCUGAUUUAACAGCUUCGUGAUGGGUGUGAUUGGGUUGUUUGGAUUGACCCCCCUCACACUGAGCUAGUGGGGCAAGCUUUUGAGGAGCUCCAUGGUGGCCUUGAACGUAGUUGGAUCGAAGCUAGUAGGAUGGAGAAGAAGGUUAUGGAUCUGAACAAUGAAAACAAGAAAAUGCAAUUGAAGUUGAAGAAAAGGAAUGAGCUCAUGGAAACAAUGGGUUUUCUCUUUGUUCUUGGCAUCAACAUUGUGGCUAGUUUAGUUUCUAUUUGGUCUAAGCAAGCCAAUUAAGUGGCAGUGUGUGUGUUAUGUUUCUGCUAGUGUGUUGUGCCCUAGAUGUAAUUAUAUCAUUUGUGCACUGUUGUGAACUUGAGCAAAUGUAAUGUUGUGCCCUAGAUGUAAUGGAUAUCAUAUGUUGUGUUAAAAUUGUCACCACUGCCAACUUGGAACCUUUUCAGAGUUCAUUUCAAAUGCUUUUCAAUUUCAUGGUCUUAUAGCUCAAAAUAAUCAGUAAAUGCAUGAAAAAUAACAAAUGAAGUCAGAAAGGGAAGUGCGUUUGGACGGAAGAGCAACUGCGAAUACCCGUCACGAGGCUUAUGGAGUAUAUCGAGAAAGCGCAUCAAAGGGCGUUCAUUCGAGACAGAGAGAAGGACUAGCUCACAAUGGCCCUCGGGAAUCCUGAGCACCCUGGAUGGACACGAGGCACGCCAGGCUCCGUUCCGUGGAAGGUUGGGUUUCCAGACGCACGGGGUUACAAAUGCCAGGAGAGGAGGAGGAAAGUGGAGCAUAGCCAACUGCAGGCGUUGCACGAAAGGGUACAAGGGCUAGAGGAACGAGAAGCAGAUCGCAACAAACGACCUGCCGAAGCUUCCCUUGAAGCUACCCCGCCAUCUCAGCGGAGAAACAGCGUGGCUUCCACCGAGCAGACUCAGCAGCUGGACCCUAUCUUCACGGCUCCUGCUAGCUACCCCGUGGAUGCUAUCACAGAGUUUCAACAUUGCCACCUUAUGGCGCGAUGGAUGACAUUCAAAGUAAAGGCGGCUGUUGGAGUUGUUUUACCUACUGAACCGGGCACAACCUACCACGGUCGGUCGAUUCCAGAAGGACAUGCUAGGGUGAUGGUGGAUCAAAUAACAGACGAAUUUGAGGACCUUGAGCUUGACCACCCUACGGGUGAAGGGGAGAUUCGGCUGGGUUCUUCUCUGAAGACUACAUGCCUAUGGCGAAAGGAGCUCAUCAACCUUCUGAACUGGACGCUUCCGCCUCCUCCUCCUCCNCUCCGCCUCCUCCUCCGGUGAGUGAUCACGUCACUCAGUCUCCUUCUCCUCCUCCGCCUCCUCCUUCGGCGAGUGAUCAGGGCACUCAGUCUCCUUCUCCUCCUCCGCCUCCUCCUCCGGCGAGUGAUCAGGGCACUCAGUCUCCUUCUCCGGCGCAUGGCGGCACUCCGCUUCCUUCUCCGCCUGCGUCGGUGCGCCCGAGCAGCCAACCUCCUCCUUCUCCGCCUCGUCAACAAGGCCGAAAGAGACCCGCCGCCGCUCCGGCUGCUCUGGCGCGUCGUCCUUCUACUCCGCCUCGUAAGAAAGGAAAGACAGCCACAACCGCUCCGUCUGCUCCGACGUCUAGCAGUACAGCCAGAGGCAGGCAAUACAAAUACGGUCCUUCUCUGAACACUCCAGAGAAGUUACCAUACGAGAGGAGCCAGGAGGAAAACGCGAAGAUCGUGCAAGCCGAAGUGAAAAACUUCUUUGAAGGGGUGAAAGCAAAGAAUCAUCCACCUCCGCAGGAGAAGAUAGAUCCGGUAAAAGCGAAGCGUACUCUGGCUGCCCUGAAGAAACCACCAAAGUCUCCGACGAAAGGCAACUAUGAGCGCAUUAUUACAAAGUCAUUUAUCGAAGCGAAGCGGUCGGGAAGUACUGUCAGUGAUCAAAGGUUAGCAGAACGACGAGCUGGGAAAAAAGUUGCCCAGCUCGGCGAACAAGCGAACCAAUCGUUCCCCCCGCUCAAGGUGUCUAGCGAUAUCAUCGCUAAUCAUCCGGGGAUCUUGUUGCCUGGUACCAAUCCUGCAGAUUACCUGCCCGACGAUGCACAUUUUGAUUUAUUGGAGGUGGACGAACACAAAUACGUGUACGAGAAGCCUCUCGUUAAAGAUAAAAGAUAUCUAACAACGAUGAUGCGAAGAUUCCAUGAUUGGUACAUGAAAACCUGCAAAGAGUCUGGGGGAGUAAUAUUUUGACGCUGAGAGUUAGAAAGGAGCGUGACCUCGUUGGACUUGAACUCUUGAUGGUUCCAUUUGAGGAGUUCUUCCCGUUUUUCAAUCUAAAGGCCCUCGAUAAAUUAAUGAUCACUUGCUACUGCCUGUAAGUAGUACUACUUCUGUCAUUAAGUCUCUAUAUAUAGGUCAGCUCUUUCAUUGCAUGUAUUUUUAAUUAUCCUCACUAUAUUAUAUGCAGAUUAAAGAUCGUCGAAUUGAAGAAAAGGCAAAUCGGUGAUAUUGGGUUCAUUAACACAAAUGUCGUAGAUGCAUUUAUGAUUAAAUUUCAGGCCAAAGAUACCGAGGCCAACCUGCUACAUCGUUUGUAUUGAAUCAAAACAAAGCUAUAAUACUCUUCCCUUACGAAUUCCAGUGAGUGUUACUGUCUUGUGCAAAUUCAAUUUCCCUUAUUAGUCAAGGUUAUAGUAAUGUAAUUGAUGAGUUAUGCAUGCGUGCGCAUCUUCCACUAUAUUCUCCUAGAGAUUAAGCUUGAGUAGGGACUAGUAACCGUCUUAGACUCGAGACGAAAAGAUCCCAACGAGUAUGCGGACAUGACUGAAAUUCUACAGAAGUAAGUUAAAUCGAUCAUUAUCGCACCAUAUCGGUAACUUUGUUUAUUUCCUGAUAUCAAGUAAUUGUUUUCUUUGUCUCGCAGAGUUUGGAAAAAAUUCACCUCAAAAACUCCGGGACUGCCGAAGAAGCUGCAAUUUAGACACCCGAAAGUAAGUACUAUAGUAGCAUGUUCCACGCAUCUCCUAGUGAUUCAAGCGCUAGUUUCAUCAAUACCAUUUAGCAUGCUUGCUAACUAUCAGUUUGAUUGACCUCUAUUUCUUGUAAAGUGGUUGUGGCAGGAACCAGGGAAUGAUUACUUUGGAUACUACAUUUGCGAGUCCAUCCGCCACACGACCUGUGAGCAGGGCUACUCUGACAAACAAUAUGACGUGCGUAAAUAAUAAUAUUCACAAUUUUAUUUUAUUACCAUCAUUUGUGUUCAGUUUCAUUUAUUCAUAUAUAUGUAUUGACCCCCUUCUUCAAAUUAGAUAUUUCGGAUGCGGAAUGAACUCCUACCAGCAGAUCGUAUGCGAGGAAUUCAAGAGGAAUUGGCGGCAUUCUUUCUUGACCACGUGAUCGCUAAAGACGGAGAAUACCAUGUGAACCCUAAUCAGUUGAGUUUUAAUUAGGAGAUUAUAUUGUAAGAGAUAAUUAUAUUGUAUAUAUGUAGCCAGUAGCGUCGGAUAGAUAUACGAGAACUUGUUAUUCGACCAAUCUCUCAGAGAAGGAGAGGUGGUCGAUAUCACUUCUCUCUGUAUGCAUAUGUUCAUGACGAUCUUCUGUUUCCUUCAUUUGCUUACUAGCUAGCGUGUGUAGUCCUCUCUAUACGUAUAGUAUGUAGCAUCGACCAAGCACGGAGAUAAGAGAGGACACUUCUCUCUAUUCAUUAGCUAGCUAACACAAUAUAUGAAACACCUAAAUUAACCCCCCCAAACCCCCUAACCCCCCUUUCAAAAAAACAAAAACCCCAGCACGUGAAAUGCUGAUGCGUGGAUGCCUUUUGGUCCCGGUUGGUGUCACCAACCGGGACUAAAGGUCCCCCUGCCUGGGCUCACCGCAUCGGCCACGUGGAGGCCCAUCUGUCCCGGUUCGUGUAAGAACCGGGACUAAAGGCCAAGGGCAUUAGUAACGACCUUUUAGUCCCGGUUCCGAAACCGGGACAGAAAGCCCUUACGAACCGGGACAAAAGGCCCCUUUUCUACUAGUGUUCAGAUGUCAAAUUGCAGCAGUCAUUUGCUUUUAGGGGAAAACUAGUAUAUGCUCGACUGAUUCAUCUUUCGCCUCAGGCAAACAAAAAGGUCAAAUCUUUUGAAGACUGUAAGAAAUAGUUUCAAAGUAACACUGGUCAUAAUAUAUAUGUGGCUAUUUGGUGAUUUGACUAAGAAGUAAAGUUCUACUCAACAUAUUCACGUGGUCCUUUGCAUAAUCAUGCAUACCAGGCAUGUUAAUCUACUUCAUAUUAUCUACUUCUUACAAAAUUAGUAUACACUGGGAUGGAGCCCAUAUUAGAGCCCAAAAAUAGUACCAUGCUGGCUGCACCUCAUAUAUUGCCUUUCGAAAAAAUCACACACAAGUAUAUGAUUGAUGAGGUUCCGAAUAAGGUCACAUUAAAUACUAUGUAUUAUCCCACACAAAAAACAUGUAUUUCUUGACCAUGUGAUCGCUAUAGACGGAGAAUACCAUGUGAACCCUAAUUAGUUGAAUUUUAAUUAUGAGAUUAUAUUGUAAGAGAUAAUUAUAUUGUAUAUAUGUAGCCAGUAGCGUCGGAUAGAUAUACGAGAACUCGUUGUUCGACCAAUCUCUCACAGAAGGAGAGGUGGUCGAUAUCACUUAUCUCUGUAUGCAUAUGUUCAUGACGAUCUUCUGUUUCCUUCAUUUGCUUACUAGCUAGCGUGUCUAGUCCUCUCUAUACGUAUAGCAUGUAGCAUCGACCAAGCACGGAGAUAAGAGAGGUCACUUCUCUCUAUUCAUUAGCUAGCUGACACAAUAUAUGAAACACCUAAAUUAACCCCCCAAAACCCCCUAACCCCCCCUUUCAAAAAAAAACCCCAGCACCUGAAAUGCUGACGCGUGGAUGCCUUUUGGUCCCGGUUGGUGUCACCAACCGGGACUAAAGACCCCCCCUGCCUGGGCUCGCCGCACCGGCCACAUGAAGGACCAUCUGUCCCGGUUCGUGUAAGAACCGGGACUAAAGGCCAAGGGCAUUAGUAACGACCUUUUAGUCCCGGUUCCGAAACCGGGACAGAAGGCCCUUACGAACCGGGACAAAAGGCCCUUUUUCUACUAGUGUUCGGAUGUCAAAUUGCAGUAGUGAUUUUCUUUUAGGGGAAAAUUAGUAUAUGCUCGACUGAUUCAUCUUUCGCCUCACGCAAACAAAAAGGUCAAAUCUUUUGAAGACUCUAAGAAAUAGUUUCAAAGUAACACUGGUCGUAAUAUAUAUGUGUCUAUUUGGUGAUUUGACUAAGAAGUAAAGUUCUACUCAACAUAUUCACGUGUGCCUUUGCAGAAUCAUGCAUACCAGGCAUGUUAAUCUACUUCAUAUGUUAAUCUACUUCAUAUUAUCUACUGCUUACAAAAUUAGUAUACACUGGGAUGGAGCCCAUAUUAGAGCCCAAAAAUAGUACCAUGCUGGCUGCACCUAAUAUAUUGCCUUUUGAACACAAGUAUUAUGAUUGAUCAGGUUCAGAAUAAGGUCACAUUAAAUACUAUGUAUUAUCCCACACAAAAAACAUGUAUAUCUCUCCACACCGAUUAUUGCUGACUCAAGGUCAUCCUCCUUAGAUUCGUUAGGCCGUGCUCAAGUAGGACUACACUUUUCUGGUCAUCUGAGGCUAUUUGUUUCUUUUUUUGCAGAAAUAAAUCACAUGAGAGAGAGAUAGAUAGAUAGAUAGAUAGGUAGAGAGAGAGAGAGACCUCGGGUCCCUCUGAUGUACAACCACACAACUACUUGACCUCGUUACUGGGAACUUGAUGAAUGGUGUGUUGCGGGUGGAUUUCCAUGUGCAUGAGAUGAUGAGUUAAUUAAAAUGCUAUUGGAUUUGGAUAUUUGAUCUGAGUUUGUAGGGAGACCUUUUCGCACUAACCUUCACAUGGGAGAAGUUAUGGGUACUUGACGUCGUAGUAUCAGCCGAAGCUCUUCAUACGUCUGCAAUGGAGCGGCGCGUGCCCGAGUGGCCCGGAUAAACAUCAUUCUUGUAUAAGAGGUGCCACGACUGACAUCGAUCACCCACGCAUCAUGCAGGAGCGCAAAGGGUGAUGGGCCCAUAACCCGUGCGCGCUUAGGAUUUAGACCGACAGAGGGCCUCUGUGUUGAGCCUAGGUAGGGCUGGGAUGUGUUGAUGUUCCGAGGCCUGGCAUGACCCAGGAAAGUGUGUCCGGCCAGAGUUUAUCAAGCGUGUUGGGUACUGUGGUGCGCCCGUGUAGGGAUGAAAAUUAACCAUUUGAAUAGUCGUGUCCACGAUUACAGGACGAUUUGGAGUUGUGCCCUGAUCUUAUACAACUUGAACUGUUACUUAACUGGAAUGUUUGCUCCGGCAUUGCUUCCUCACAAGGAGUCGAGGAAGAAUCUAUGGAUGUGACUUUAAUUCAUAUUGCUGCAACAAUAUGACUAUUAAUUGUGUUACUUGCUCUACUCUCGUCUAUUGCUGCAAGACCCCUGAAGAUGCCAGUCUUCGAUAGGACUAGUCCCCUCUCUUUAUUCUCGCAUUGCUGCAGUUAGUCCACGUAUAACCCCUUCCUUUGAUACUGAUGCAUACUUAGCAUAGUUUUGAUGUCAGUCUUGCGAGUACUUUGGAUGAGUACUCACCGUUGCUUUGCUCCCCCUUUUCCCCUUGAUCCGUUGCUGCGACCAUAUGAUGGAGCCGAGGAGAUGGCGUAUCCCACCGACGACGUCUACUACCACGACGGUGCCUACUACAACGUGGAGGACGCUGAAGACCAGGAGUAGUUUAGGAGGUUCCCACGCAGGAGGCCUCGCCUCGUUCGAUCGUUGUAUCUUUUGUGUGAGCCUUCUCUAAGGCAUUAUCAUGUUUCAUGUCUGUACUCAGAUAUUUGUUGCUUUCGCUGACUCGUGUGUUUUUCGAGCUUCUGUAUUCUAGUCCUCGAGGCCCCUGGCUUGUAAUACGAAGCUUGUAUGUUUUAUUUGUGUCUAGAGUUGUGUUGUGAUAUCUUCCCGUGAGUCCUUGAGCUUGGUCGUACGCAUUUGCAGGUAUGAUUAGCGUACGAUCAAAUCGAGGGCGUCACAAGUUGAUAUCAAAGCCGACUGCCUGUAGGUAGCCCCCUUUCCAACUCCUUGGAUGAAGUUGAGUCUAGUAUUUGAAAAACUUACUAACAUUGUUGUGUGGCUUACGGGCCGACAUCUCAAUCAGAUGGUAUUAGUAUCUUUUACUCCUUUUCUAUACUCUGGGUUCUACUCUCUCUUCUCUUCCGGGUUAAAGAUUUUGCUAACUCUAACAUUAGGUUCUCAUAAUCACAUCGACCCGGAGAGCUAGAUUAUCUACGGUAGUUCAUCUGAUAAUAUGUUAUACACUCUAUCACUUGACAUCCUUGAUGUUUCCUUUUCAGAUGCGUCCCGCAAGGCAGACCGUAUGCCUGACUAUGGCUGUCGAUGCGACCGGGUUCUCGGCUAUUCUGGUUGACCUCUUGACCAGGAUGGGAUAUCGCUGGUACCUCGAGUACACUGUGUAUGAGGACUUCUGCGAGUUCAACCAGUACCAGUACCAGGCUGAAGUUCACAUCUUCGAUCGGACGGACACCUCCACCCACGAGCUGCACACCUUCUGCGGUGUUGGGUUGUCGAUCGAUAUGGCCGUCCAUGAUGCGUCCUAUAUCGCUAUCACCCGCCGCCGUGGAUCGUACCCUUGCAUGGAGGAGACCGCCUUUAGAUACAUCAAGUAUGUUCCUGUUGGGGAUGAGACUAGAUCUAAUCAUACUGCCUAUGUUGCUCGCGUUCAGGAGCGCAACGAUUGGUCCCACGUUGCUGUUUGUACCUCCUACGUGAGGCAUCGCUACGACCCAUAGGUUUUGGUGCAGUACAUGGAGGCGCUGGAUCGUGCCUUCCGAGCUCAGACUGUGGAGCUGUAUGCCAUGCGUACCUGUCUUUACGACGCGUUGACACAACUGCAACCAAUAGUUGAUGCGAGGAUCCACCCUUCGUUUAUCCUUCACCCAUGCAGGACAGAGCUACCACCAGGUCUUGAGUGGCCUGCUUGUGACAGCCCGAGAUCGACGUUCCAGAAUAUUCCCCUUUUAUUCCAUUCUCGUCGUGUGGUCCGUUUGCCUGUCGCAUUCAUCAUCCCAUCAUCCGCGUUGCAUCAGCACCGUGUUGUCGCUAGUUUUCAAACCUACGUAUGUUAUUAGUUGCCGGUUCUUUCUGUUUUCGUCGCUCACCGUUUUGAGACCAACCGCACACGCACGCACCCGCGACAUGGAUAAAAUAUUGUUUUUAAAAGUGUGCAAAAAAUAUUCUCGGAUUGAGUCGAAACUUGGCGUGCGGUCUUAUUUUAAUAUAGGUAGGCCGCCUGCCCAAUUUCGUCGCAAUCAGAGUCUGUUUGAUACCCGAACGGUCGAGCGUAGUGGCACCGUCUUCGGUUUAUCAUCGGACGUUUUCGGGGUUUUAAAUAUCGUUGCCGGGUGGCCCGUUUUUCCACUCUUCCCCACCUAGACACUCUACACAGCCACCUACUCCCUCCGUCCGGUGAAGAGUGUACUUUUGGCUUUAAUUUUUUCCACAAAAGAGUGUACUUUUAUCUUUUUAAUGCACUUUAAAGUAUAAAAAAUGCUUCUCUCUCAUCACACGGUAAUCAAGACCAAUAACAUUCUAUAUACAGUUUUCUACACGCACUUAGCUCAUUCGGGGUUAGGUAAUUAAAGAGGAGAGAGAUGGUGUGUUGCACCUUUCCAAUGCAUUUUUUUACUCCACUUCAUAAUUUGUCCUAAAAUGUCUAUAUGUACACUUUUCACCGGACGGAGGGAGUAGCCCCUACCCGUGACCAGGAUCGUCCGAUUCCGAUCCUAUGGUCGAAAUUGGUGCUAAAUUCCGCAAACCCUAGCCCCUUCCUAUAAAUAGAUGCCCCUAACCUUCCCGUAAUGGAAACCCUAGCCCCUGCCUCGGGAUCUGCGCCACCCAGCCGCCACAGCUAGCCUCCUUCCUCUCUCCUCCAGCCGUAGGCCCGUGGAGCUCGGGUUGGGCCCGCCUAAGCCCAUAUCGGCUCGGAUCGCGCGGCCGCCGCCCCGUUCUGCCCCGAGCCCCGGCUCCUCCCGAUCUCCUUCCGCUCCUGGGCGCAGCCGCCCUCUCCCCGUAGGAGCCCCUCGACGCCGCGCACCUGGGCGCCGGAGCGCCGCCCUCUGGAGAACCAGUCCAGCCCCGUGCCGCACCUCUCUUCGCCUCGCCAUUCUUCUUCCUCCUUAAUGCCCAAGCCCCCCCUCUCUCUAAUGGAUGCAGGUCGCUAGAGCCCCGCCGCCGUGCCUCCAUUGCCGGAAAUGGAGACGGUCCCCCAGAUGUGCCCGUCCCGAGCACCGACCCCCCCUCGGCGGCACUACCGACGGCCUCGAGCGCGAGAUCUGCUCAGGCGCCGCCUCCUUUGCGUCGCAGGAGAACGAUGAGGCGCCUCCAGCGCUCGCCCCCACGUGGCCAGCUAGCAGUGCCUCCCAGCACCAGGCCCAGCUCCGCCGCCCCUUCGGCCCAAGGCCCAGCCGGGACGUCGGCCCGCCUCCUCCCCCGAGCCGCCCCAAGUGGCCUGGUGAGUCCGGUUAUCCCUCGCCCCCGUUGCAAUAUUGAUAUCCUGCGCCAUGCCCAUUUUUAGUCCGUUUGCACAGAUUCGGCCCGUUACUCUUUUUAGGUUUUGCGAUUUUAGUAUUUCAUAAAAAAGCUAGAUAUUAAAACGACCGUAACUUCUAAUCCGUGCGUCGGUUUGUGACAAGUUAUAUAUAGAACUUGUGUAGUUUUUCGCGUAGAACAUUAUUUUGCAACUUGCAUACAUAUUUGAAGUAGUUUGAACCACAGUUUGCCUAGAUUGGCGUGAUGUCCUAAUAGGUUAACUAUUGCGUAGAUGUUUUUGUGCGCGUCCGGUUUGUUCAAAUCCCGUAGAUAAAAUGUUCACAAUGUUCAUGACCCUUUGCCAUGUAUUUUAGAGUACUUGCUUGCAUUUUUUUGCAUGUAGGAGCUGUCAAUAGUUUGUAUGUCGUGUUUAGGACAUAUUCUCGCAUAUAUAUGUGGCGUUAAUUUUAUUUUGCAACCCCACAUAUUAUAUAUGUUUCCGGGGUAAAAAUAUCCAUAGAAUUUGUCUGUGCAUUUAGUUUUGCUUUUCGAGUAAGUUAGCGUGCAUGAUAUUUUGCCAUGUGCCCUCUUGAUUAUUUUGUGCGAUUUAUUCCGUGCGUGAUAUGCAUGAGUUGUGAACUAGAGAUAUGCCCUUGGACAUGUAGACUAGCCCCUAGUAAUUUUCGUUGCUAUAGAAAUUCAUGUUUAGGUGUUGUUUGCUUGUUGCCAACAUGCUAGAAAAAAGUGCUGAUUUGGAGAUGCUGAAAUAUUUCUAAGUCUGACAUUUAUAAUAUUUUGUUGCUGUCUUGCCAUGAAUUUUGCUAGUGAUCUACAAUUACUUUGAGGUUGGUGCAAUGGAGUUAAUUGUAUUCCUUAAGAUUCUCUAGCAUGCUAUAAAAUUUCAUGCCAUUCGAUGCCCCGUAGCAUAUAGUUUUGCUGCUGUCAAAUGCCUUCUUGUUGGAAACUACUUUGUCAAAACUGUUAUUUUCACUAAGUAUGAAACUGUGUGUGAGAUUCCAUUUUGUGAGUUCUUUUCCUAGUGAUCCAUGCUGCCAUGCUAGAUGUUAUUAGUAGGAUGUUGUAGUGCAUCUUGACCACUACUGCCUCAUGUCUUGUUUGGGAAUUUUCGAAUUAUGUAGCUUGUUGUUUUGGGGUGUAGAAAAUGUCAUGCUGUUUUUGGACAGUUUGUAGUCAUUUCUUGUUUAGCUUGUAUUUGUGGAACCGUUGCUCCGUUUAGAAUGUGCUAUAUAUGAAACUUGCUUGGAAUCUCGUGUAAGUUCAUAUUAUGUUGCUGCCUUCUUGGUUAGGAAUGCUUGUGAUUAUCAUUGCAUACAUAUUGCAUACAUGGCAUCAUAUCUUGCGGUGAUCAUAUCUUUUGAACCGUAGCUCUAUUUGCAAUGAUCUUUAUGUGUAAAUUGAUUGGAACGACGCGUAGAAUCACGCGGACCACUUUAUUUUGCUGUUUAACAAAUAUUAAAACGUGUUAGUUUAGAUCUAGACAGAAUUAUAAAUUAACGUAUGGGGUCAGUUCGGAGAUGCUAUAAGUCGUUUCCGACCUCAUUUAAAAUGCCUAGAUAGGUAGCUUAAUUACGCUUCACCUCUUGCCAUGUUUAACCAACAUUUAAUAUGCCUGUGAAAAUAAACGGGAGCGAACUAAAUAAUUAAAUGUAGAGUUUCGUCAAUAUGCAAGUCGUUGCACAUUGAACUUCACUUAAUGUGUAGUGUUUGAAUGUGUGAAUUGCCAUGUCAUUUCGUGCAUAAUUGAUACCGUUCAUGCAUCAUAUGUGUUGUGCAUCAUGUGGUGAAUAUCGUGUGUUGAUUCUUGUUUCCGGUUUGCUUCGUCUCGAUAGAGUUCCACAAGCGUAUCGGAAUGUGAGGACCCGUUCGUCUACAUCGGUUCGUCUGCUUCACGGAGUCAUUCUUGUUGCAAGCAGGAUCUCAGGCAAGAUGAUCAUUUCCCUAGAUACCAUUACUAUCAUUCUCAUGCUAGUGUUUCAUAUCUAUCGUUAUGUCGCGCUGCCUACCACCUAUUAAAUAUCAGCCUCUCAACAUUGCCAUGAAACCUUCAACCUUCUACAACCUAGCAAACCACUGAUUGGCUAUGUUACCGCUUGUUUAACCAUGUGUUAGCGUUGCUAGUUACAGGUGCAGUUGGUUCCAUGUGAUAACAUGGGUUCCUUGUUAUAUCAGCAUAUUAAUGCUAUUUAAAUUAAUGCACCUAUAUACUUGGUAACAGGUGGAAGGUUGUGCCUUUCUAUCCACGUGUUUUGUUCCACCUUUGUCGCCUUAGUUUCGGCUACCAGUGUUAUAUUCCAAAAAUGAGCGCUCCUAACACGAUCAGGGUUGUUAUGGGGACCCCUUGAUAUUCAUCUUAGAUUAAAACUGGUCUCACAAGGCCCAACUUUGGUUCUACAUUUUCCUAAUAACUAAUAAAUAGCAUAGGGACCCGCUGGCACCUGCGGAUAAUUAAUCAACCCCCGAUUCAGUGCUCUGCAUGAGUGUUGGUCCACCCACCUAGCAGUCGGCGGUGCCACCUCGGGGCAACUGGAGCGUUUGGCUAUCGUCCACUAUGCAUAGACGGUUGUGUCAUGAGAACAAGAUACACGAGUCCUAUCGGGUUCGUCGACAUACCGGGUGGCCUUACUAGAUUAGUUUUACCUUUGACGAAUGUCUUGUGCAUUGGGAUUCCGGUGAUGCUUUGGGUAAUCUCAGAGUUGAGGUUUUUCACUAAGGAGUCCGACGAGAUGGCGAGUCUCGUGAUCGAGGAUUUCUAUGCGGCUUGUGGUAAUUUGUGUUGCACUAGUUUGAGCACCCCUGCAGGGUUAAAUAUUUUGGAAAGCCGUGCCCGAGGUUAUGUGGCAACGUGGAAACUUUGUGUAACAUCCGCUUCUAGAUAACUUGAAGUAAGCUUAAUUAAAAUAUGCCAACUGAGUGCGUAACUGUGAUUGUCUCUUUUGUGAGAUCCUUCUCUGAUCGAGGACACGGUGGCGUUAUGUCUGACGUAAGUAGGUGUUCAGGAUCAUUCAUUUGAUCAUCAGUACUUCACGUCCGCUAUGCGUAGAUCAUCCCCCUCUUUAUUCUUGUACUCGUAAGUUAGCCACCGUGCGCCAGGCCUAGCUCCGCCGCCCCUUCGACCCAAGGCCCAGCCAGGACAUCGUCCUGCCUCCUCCCCCGAGCCGGGCCAAGUGGCAUGGUGAGUCCGGUUAUCCCUCGCCCCCGUUACAAUAUUGAUAUCCCACGCCAUGCCUAGUUUUAGCCCGUUUGCACAGAUUCGGCCUGUUAGUUUUUUUAGGUUUUGCGAUUUUAGUAUUUCAGAAAAAGCCAGAUAUUAAAACGAUCGUAACUUUUAAUCCGUGCGUCAGUUUGUGACAAGUUAUAUAUGGAACUCGUGUAGUUUUUUGCGUAGAACAUUAUUUUGCAACUUGCAUGCAUAUUUGAAUUAAUUUGAAUCGCCAUUUGCCUAGAUUUGCGUGUUGUCCUAAUAGGUUUACUCUUGCGUAGAUGUUUUUGUGCGCGUAUGGUUUGUUCAAAUCCCGUAGAUAAAACGUUCACGAUGUUCGUAACCUUUUUCCAUGUAUUUUAGAGUACUUGCUUGCAUUUGUUGCAAGUAGGAGCCGUCAAUAUUUUGCUAUGUCGUGUUUAGGACAUAUUGUCGCAUAUAUGUGUGGCGUUAGUUUUAUUUUGCAACCCCACAUAUUAUAUAUGUUUUCGGGGUAGAAAAUCUAUAUAAUUUAACCGUGCAUUUAGUUUUGCUUUUCGAGUAAGUUAGCGUGCAUGAUAUUUUGCCAUGUGCCCUCUUGUUUAUUUUUGUGGGAUUUAUUCCGUGCGUGAUAUGCAUGAGUUGUGAACUAGAGAUAUGCUCUUGGACAUGUAGACUAGCCCCUAGUAAUUUUGGUUGCUAUGGAAAUCCUUGUUUAGGUGUUGUUUGCUUGUUGCCAACAUGCUAGAAAAUAGUGCUGAUUUGGAGAUGCUAAAAUAUUUCCAAGUCUGACAUUUGUAAUAUUUUGUUGCUGUCUUGCCAUGAGUUUUGCUAGUGAUCUACAACUGCUUUGAGGUUGGUGCAAUGGAGUUAAUUGUAUUCCUUAAGAUUCUCUAGCAUGCUGUAAAAUUUCAUGCCAUUCGGUGCCCCGUAGCAUAUAGUUUUGCUACUGUCAAAUGCCUUAUGGUUGGAAACUGCUGUGUCAAAACUGUUAUUUUCACUAAGUCUGAAAUUGUGUGUGAGAUGCCAUUUUGUGAGUUCUUUUCCUAGUGAUCCAUGCUGCCAUGCUAGAUGUCAUUAGUAGGAUGUCGUAGUGCUUCUUGACCACCACUGCCUCACGUCUUGUUUGAGCAUUUUAGAAUUAUGUAGCUUGCGUGUAGUAAAUGCCAUGUUGCUGUUUUUGGACAGUCUGUAGUCAUUUCUAGUUUAGAAGGUAUUUGCUGAACCGUUGCUCCAUGCUUGGAAUCUCGUAUAGGUUCAUAUUAUGUUGCUGCCUUCUUGGUUAGGAAUGCUUGUGACUAUCAUUGCAUACAUAUUGCAUACAUGGCAUCAUAUCUUGCGGUGAUCAUAUCUUUUGAAUCGUAGCUCCGUUUGCAAUGAUCUCUAUGUGUAAAUUUAUUGGAACGACGUGUAGAAUCAUGUGAACCACUUUAUUUUGCUGUUCAAAAAAUAUUAAAAUGUGUUAGUUCAAAUUUGGACAGAAUUAUAAAUUAACGUAUGGGUCAGUUCGGAGAUGCUAUAAGUCGUUUCCGACCUCAUUUAAAAUGCCUAGAUAGGUAUCUUAAUUACGCUUCACCUCUUGCCAUGUUUAACCAACAUUUAAUAUGGUCGUGAAAAUUAACGGGAGUGAACUAAAUAAUUAAAUGUGGAGUUUCGUUAAUAUGCAACUCGUUGCACAUUGAACUUCACUUAAUGUGUAGUGUUUGAUUGUGUGAAUUGCCAUGUCAUUUCGUGCAUAAUUGAUACCGNCAUCCUCUCAACAUUGCCCUGAAACCUUCAACCUUCUACAACCUAGCAAACCACUUAUUGGCUAUGUUACCGCUUGCUUAACCAUGUGUUAGCAUUGCUAGUUAUGGGUGCAGUUGCUUCCAUGUGAUAACAUGGGUUCCUUGUUAUAUCACCAUAUUAAUGCUAUUUAAAUUAAUGCACCUAUAUACUUGGUAAAAGGUGGAAGGCUCGGCCUUUCUUGCCUGGUGUUUUGUUCCACCUUUGCCGCCUUACUUUCGGCCACCGGUGUUAUAUUCCAUAAUUGAGCGCUCCUAACACGAUCGGGGUUGUUAUGGGGACCCCGUUGAUAUUCGUCUUAGAUUAGAAUUGGUCUGGCAAGGCCCAACUUUGGUUCUACAUUGCCUAAUAACUAAUAAAUAGCAUAGGGACCUGCCGGCACCCGCAGAUAAUUAAUCAACCCCCGGGUCAGUGCUCCGCAUGAGUGUUGGUCCACCCACUUAGCAGUCGGCGAUGCCACCUCGGGGUAACUCGAGUGUUUGGCUAUCCUCCACUAUGCAUAGACGAUUGUUUCUUGAGAACGAGAUACGCGGCUCCUAUCGGGUUCGUGGAUACACCGGGUGGCCUUACUAGAUUAGUUUUACCUAUGACGAAUGUCUUGUGCAUCGGGAUUCCGGUGAUGCUUUGGGUAAUCUCAGAGUUGAGGUUUUCCACUAAGGAGUCCGACGAGAUCGUGAGUUUCGUGAUCGAGGAUUUCUAUGCGGCUUGUGGUAAUUUGUGAUGGACUAGUUGGAGCACCCCUGCAGGAGUAAAUAUUUCAGAAAGCCGUGCCCACGGACAUGUGGCAACGUAGAAACUUUGUUUAACAUCCGGUUCUAGAUAACUUGAAGUAAGCUUUAUUAAAAUAUGCCAACUGAGUGCGUAACCAUGAUUGUCUCUUUCGUGAGCUCCUGCUCCAAUCGAGGACACGGUGGCGUUAUGUCUGACGUAAGUAGGUGUUCAGGAUCAUUCAUUUGAUCAUCAGUACUUCACGUCCUCUAUGGGUAGAUCAUCCCCCUCUUUAUUCUUGUACUCGUAAGUUAGCCACUAAAUGAAUGCUUAGUUGCUUGCUGCAGCCUCACCAUUUAACCAUACCUCACCUAUUAAGCUUUGCUAGUCUUGAUACCUUUGGAAAUAAGAUUGCUGAGUCCCCUGUGGCUCACAUAUUACUACAACAUCAGUUGCAGGUACAGGUAAAGUGAUAUUAAGACGGGAGCAUGAUGAUUGUUCAUUUGGAGUUUCUUUUUCUUCUUCGUCGAUCUAGGAUGGGUUCCAGGCCAGCAGCUUGCGUUAGCAAGGAUGGACGUCGUUCUUUUAUCGUUUGUUUUCGUUCGUAGACGGACACUGCUCUUCUACAUGAUGAUUGUAUGUAUUUUACUGCUGUGACUCUAAUGUGGCUUGUGGAGAGUGUAAGCCAAUUCCAUAUACUCAUCUCUUCAAUACAUGUACUUGUAAUGAUAUCCAUUAUUGCGAAACGACGAGAUGCGCUUCUAUCCCUGUCGAGGCCCUCGUGCCAAAAUAAGGAUAUGAUCGCAUCUUGGGCGUUACAAGUUGGUAUCACAGCAGUACCGACCUAGGAGCCCCCUUGAUUGAUUGAACUUGGCCGAGUCGAGUCUAGUGAAAAACUGCUUUGAGUUUAGUUAUAUAUCGGAGAGUAGGAUUCUUUUUUCUCUUCUUCUAUGCUCUGGUGAGGAAUCUUGACGUAAGAAUUUUAAUUCUACUCCUCUUCUCACUCAAAUUAUUUUUAGGAUCACGCGGAUAGUUUUGGAAUCUAUAUGAUGUCGAUUUGACGGAGUUCUGUCUUGGUGCCUCCUGUCUGACCUGAUUUCUUUCGGGGAGUUGUGCUCCAAGGGAUACUUGAGCACAUCGUUAUCAUUCAGAUUUCUUAGUAUCUCAAGACGAAGUAUGUUCGAAAUUGCUUCAAUACUAGUAGAGGCGAGAGGAGUCCGGCUUCCCCAGUACUGGUGCAGAUAGAUCCGGAUAUAUCGCCACACUUAGUAUUGUUUCGAUUACGAGGAUCUAAGAUAGAUGAGUUUCUGAGAUCUCUGGUUAUGUGUUGAUGGAUGUGAUACACUGGACGGGUUAGAAUAGGAGUUGAGUGAUGAAAUUCUCCUUGUAUCCGUGGACCAGAUUGCAUGACCAGAAAUUUCGGAAGUUAUUAGGGGGGAAUUCAAGUAGCUAUUUAUAGGAAAAUCUUCCAACAAAUGCAUGAUGUGAGGUUGAGGUUCGACAUCUAGUGGAUUCGUUUGUUCACGAUCGUCUUACAGCGGUUCUCGUUGUGUCUUAAAGAGCCCUUGUAGCUUGCUAUGACUCGGGGACACUUCGUAUGUCGUGUGUACUGCCUUGUACAUGAUGGCUACUAUUGGAUCGAGCCCGUGCAAUUAUAUCCACGAAAAUAUCGAAUAAAAUCUCUGUCAUAAAUUUCUUCUACUUGUUUCAUAAGCCGCACCCUUUGUCUUGUUGGAAGAUGGUAAUUCUAGUUGCUUCGAUAUCAAGUGGUGAUUUCAUAUCUUUCCUAAGAGGUGUUCCCAUAUUUUUUGGGAAUGCAAACUCUUUUUCUCAAUCAAGUUGAUUUUUCAAUUCUAUUUCAGCAGGUGUGCUUCUCUUCAAGUGAAUUCAAUCCUCUCCAAUUUUGCAAGAUAAUUCUCUCAUUUCUUCCGGAGUUCAUCUCAUCUGUCCCAAGUUGUCUUUGUUUUCCCCGCGCUCCCACCCUUUUCUUUAGUGAUUCAAUUCUCAUCCAAGUUCAUUUCAUUUCAUUCUUGCUUCUGCUAUCUUUUCUUUUCUCUCUUAUCUGGUGAUUCCUUUGUUGGAGAUUCUCAUUCAAUAUUUUCUUAUUCAUUCAUCCCUCCCUGUUCUAUCCGGAGCAUUUAAGAUAUCUCAAAAGUUUCUUGUUUUCAAUUCUUUAAUUAUUUCGAGGUGCUUAACCUCAUCAAGUUUUCUUUGUACCAGUGCAAUCUCUCUAUUUCUGAGCAAUCUUUUUGUGACACCCUCGAAUUAAUCGUACGCUAAUCAUACACGCAAAUGCGUACGAUCAAACCCAAGGACUCACGGGAAGAUAUCACAACACAACUCUAGACACAAAUAAAAUAAGACAAGCUUCAUAUUACAAGCUAGUGGCCUCGAGGGCUAGAAUACAGAAGCUCGAUAAAAAAACACGAGUCAGCGGAAGCAACAAUAUCUGAGUACAUACAUAAACCAUGGGAUGCCUUAGAGAAGGCUAGCACAAAAGAUACAACUAUCGAACGAGGCGAGGCCUCCUGCCUGGGAACCUCCUAACUACUCCUAUUCUUCAGCGGCCUCCAUGAAGAAGUCACCAAUGGGGUGGCAGGCGUCGGCAGGAAACUCCAUCUCCUGGGCUCCAUCGUCUAGAUGCAGCAACGGAUCAAAGGGACAAAGGGGGAGGUAAGCAACGGUGAGUACUCAUCCAAAGUACUCGCAAGACUUACAUCAGGACUAUGCUAAGUAUGCAUCAGCAUCAAAGAAGGGAGUUGGUUAUAUGUGGACUGACGACAGCAAUGCGAGAAUAGAGAGAGAAGGCCUAGUCCUAUCAAAGACUAGCAUAUUCAGGGUCUUGCAGCAAUAGACGAGAAUAGAGCAAGGGAACACAAAUAAUAGUCAUAUUGUUGCAGCAAUAUUAAAGUGAGGUCACGCCCAGAGAUCCUCCCUCGACUCCCUAUGAGGAAGCAAUCCCGAGGCAACUAAUUCCAGUUAAGUAACAAUUGUAGUUGUAUAAGAUUAGGGCGCAACUCGAAGUCGUCCUGUAACUGUGGACACGACUAUUCGAAUAGUUAAUUUUCAUCCCUGCAGGGGUGCACCACAUGUCCCAACGCGCUCGAUAAAACUCUGGCCGGACACACUUUUCUGGGUCCUGCCCGGCCUCGGAAUAUCGACACGUCGCACCCCCACCUAAGCUCAGCAGAGAGGACAACCCGCCGGUCUAAAUCCUAAGCGCAAAGGGUUGAUGGGCCCAGUUUCCCUCCGCGCUCCUGCACGAUGCAAGGGCGGCAGACGUCAGUCCUAGCACCCCUUAAUCACAAGCGUGAUGCAUCUCGGGACCACUCGGGCGUGCGCCGCUACAUCGCUGACGUCUGAAGAGCUUCGGCUGAUACCGCGACGUCGAGUACCCAUAAUUCUUCCCACACAGAUGGUUAGUGCGAAAAGGUCUCCGACCAACCCAGAUCAAAUACCCAAAUCCAUUAUCAUUUUAAUUAGGCCAUCGACACAGUCUCGCGGGAAUCCACCCGUCUAAACAACUAAUCACCAAUUAUCCCAGUAACAUGGUCGAGUAACUAUGUGGUUGUAACAUCGGGGGGAAUCCGAGGUAUCACCCUCGUUGGAUUCCGAACGAUGUAUCCAUCAAGGUGGGCUUAGAGGAAUCACCCUCGGGGGUCCCACACUUGAGGGGUUGCACGACAGAGGCAUCAUCGGGAAUGGUGAAAGAGGAAUCACCCUCAAUAACCACGACCGACUAGCUGUACUACAGAGAUAUUAUCAGGAGUACUUAGCGAGGUGUCACCCUCAGUACCCGAUAGUAUCUCUGUAGAGUCGUACAACUAAGGGGGUGUAUGUGUUGUGUUGGGUCUGGCUCGUCGACCAUGGAUCGAGAUUUGAAAAACAAGCAGGGCAACUCGACAACGGGGUCAGAGGGGAUGACUGCUCCACCUAUACUAAGCAGAUUAAAGGUACAAAAUUGAAAGUAGCAGUUCAUCAAAAAUAGCCUAUGCAUCAGAUAUAGGAGCUAACUUCAACAGUAGCAAAAUACUAAUGCAAGGAGUAGGAAGAAAGACAUAGGCGAUAUAGGAAUGAUCAAGGGGGGUUUGCUUGCCUUGCUGCUUCGCGGCAAAGGACUGAUCGACAGGGUCGUAGAUGUACACGGCAGCAGCGUCAGUCUCGGGGUCUACCGGUAAGAAGAGGGGGAAGAAACAAUAAAUAAUAGCAACGGUGCAACACAAUGCAUGACAUGGCAAGAUGCAGGCUAGACCUGAGCUAACGCAGCAACAUCCGUCAUAGACGGCUCGGAAGAAUAUCUGACGAUAUUUUCCGGGUCUCGGGCUACUAGUGGUCAGAGUGGAAACGAUGGAAAUGUUCCACAUUUGCUAUGCUAGAGACGCGUGACAAACGAAUGUACCGUGUAUCCGGGUUCGACUCGUUCUGCUGAUCAACUUUCAUGUUGAAAAUAAUUUGAUCUGACUUACGGAUUAUUUUUUAUUAAUUUUUAAAGUUUUAUUAAAUAUUUAGAAAUUAAAAACAUAUUUAAUAAAAAAGCAUGAUGUCACGCUGACAUCAACAGUUGACUCGUCAACUGACGAGUGGGUCCCGUGCGUCAUAGACACAAGUUUUAAUUAAGAUUAAAUAGUAAUUAAACACAUUAAUUUAGUGGGGGACGCACAUGUCAUACUCUGAUUAUUCUAAUUACCUAUUUAAUUAAUUAACUAAUUAAUUAAUAUAUCUAUUUAUUUAUUUAAUAAAAACUUAUUUUUAUUUUUAUAUUUUAAUUUUCACUUUUCUCAAAAGCGGGUGUGGGGCCUCCUUGUCAUAGACAACGGGGUGACUUGGCCCCACCGGUAAGUGGCUUAGGCCACAUACGCACAAAACAACCAUAAACAUAUUUAUACAAUCAACGUAUUUCUCCACAUACCUACAUACAUAAAUACAUACAUACGUGCAUCUCAUACAUACAAAAUACGUACGACAUCUAAUACAUACAUACAUACGUCUUUUUAUUUAUUUUUCUUUUUCUCAUCUCAUCUCCUAACUCUCUUUGUUAACAACAGAGAGAGAUACAUCUCCCUCUACCCUACUCGAUCCUAACGACGUCGGAACGAAGUGCCGUUUGCCGGAAUGGAACCAGGACGACGCGAGGAAGGAGACGGUGGGAGGAGCCCGAACAGGGGCUCACCGACAUUGACGAGAGGGCCCGGUGAAGCCGGAAUUCUCGGGAGGCAGAGGAGACGGAGAGGAGGAGGACGAGGCGGUGACGGUGGUGGCGCAUUUCCGAUGAGGAUGGUGCCGGCGAGGGUCGCCGGAGGCCACGGCCGGCGGAGAUGAGGCACGGCCGCCGGAUCCGGUCCGGAGGAGGGUCGGCGCCCGGAUGGGGCUGCCGGGGGAGCUCCCGCCGGCGCGGGGGGGUGCUCGGUCGGGGAGGUGCGGGGGGAGGGCCCGGCGAAAUGGGGGUCCAGGGGCGUGCGGUGGGGCGGUGCUGGGUGGGGUCCACCGGCAGGAGGGAGCGACGGGGAUGCCUCAGCCGGAUCGAGGUGGGAGGCUCAAUGGGGUUCCUGGGGCUGGUCGGUGGGAUGUGGUAGGUGGAGGAAGGCUCGAGAGGGAGAGGGUCUUGGUAGGGAGGGGUUCUCGUGCGUGGGGGGGGGUGGAUGGGUGGUAGGUGGGGGUGUACCGAGAGGGGAGGAGGUCCUCAUGGUGGGUGGGGAGAGUGAGGCCAGGGCGAGCAGGGGCUCGGUCUCGGGUGGGAGGCGACGGGGCAGGUGGGAUGGUGCGGGAGGGUUGGUGGGAGGGCGGUUAGUGAGUGCGAUAGCGGGGGAAGGUGGUGGCGGCCUCGUGGGGAGAGGGGUCGGGCGACUAGGGUUUCCUGGGGGUUGGGAGCGCUGGUUAGGGGGGGGGGGCNNNNNNNNNNNNNNNNNNNNNNNNNNNNNNNNNNNNNNNNNNNNNNNNNNNNNNNNNNNNNNNNNNNNNNNNNNNNNNNNNNNNNNNNNNNNNNNNNNNNNNNNNNNNNNNNNNNNNNNNNNNNNNNNNNNNNNNNNNNNNNNNNNNNNNNNNNNNNNNNNNNNNNNNNNNNNNNNNNNNNNNNNNNNNNNNNNNNNNNNNNNNNNNNNNNNNNNNNNNNNNNNNNNNNNNNNNNNNNNNNNNNNNNNNNNNNNNNNNNNNNNNNNNNNNNNNNNNNNNNNNNNNNNNNNNNNNNNNNNNNNNNNNNNNNNNNNNNNNNNNNNNNGGCUGGGGGGGGGCUGGCCGGCUGGGCCAACUUGGCCCAGUUGGGCCGGGGGGUUUAGUCUUUUUUUUAAUGUCUUUCUUUUAAUUUUAUUCUUUUUUUACACAUAUUGCUCCUGUUUUAAUUAUAUAGGGAUUGUAGUAACUUCAACAUGCCCGAUUGACUUUUAUAACUUAUUUAGGAAAGUUUUAAUAACUUUUCCGACAAUUUUUAUUUCAAACAUUAUAAAACUUUUCCCGUUUCAUUUAUUUUCAAACUUCGAACUUUGACUCGGUUUCGACUAUCACGAGAUCAAUAAUAGAAUCAUAGUGACAUGGCAUCCUUUGCAUAGGUUUACUCUAGUUCAAGUAUCGAGAUUACUGUAGUCUAAUCCGGGGAUGUCACACUUUUCAACGAUGUGUUCUUCUGAGUGGGCCUAUAACCCACAUGAUCUUUCCUAGGAUCUUUCCUUGCUCUUCUAAUCUUUUCUCGGAGAUUUCUAAUCCUUUUCAAUUAUGACAUAAGUAUGCAUUCCAUCAGUCAUAUUCCUUCUCCAAGAUUGCUUCAAAUUAAUUCUCAUCUUUGGCUCAAGGUUUCAAUCUUCAUUAUUCCGGAGUGUUUCCGUUAUUCUUGGUGGUGUCCCUUCUCAUCAUUCUCGGCUUGGAAGACGAAGGAGUGUUUCUCUCAAAUCUUGGUCCAUUCUCUUGAAGAUUCAUCAUUUAACCUUUGUGUUAUCAUCUUGAAUUGUUUCCAAUCAUGAGUAAUUCCUUCCAUAUCUAUCUGGUGCAUUUUAGAUUUGUUUUUAUUCUUGAUCCUCCGAAGGACAUCAUUUCAGAAGAUUUAUUCGUUCUCAGUUUUCAACUUUCGUUCUCAAAUUCUUCUGAAUUGUUGUCUCUUCGUUCUCUCAAUUAUUUCGGUGCCUUGUUCAGUUUUCUAUUAGGCGGCUCAAGAUCUCUUCAUUCUCAAGGUGUUCUUCAAGAUUGUUGUGGUAGUAGUUCUCAUUUUCUUCUUCGUUCCUUCUUGCCUAGAGCUAGUUUCUAUUCUUUCUAACAGAGGCUUUGUGAUGUUGCUCUCUUCAACCUACCAUUUUGUCUUUUGUAGAUCAUAUUGUUCCCUUGUUCAAUUUAGUUAGUUUGUUGUGGAUCUUUAAGAUCUUUCCAUUUUAUCAAAUUUUGUCCCCUUUUCCUACCGAAUUGGUGUGGAAAUUUUGAUUGAAUUCUUGCUUGUUUCUCAUAUCAUUCUCAUCUCUUUGCAACCUCCAAGAGUCAUUGGUUUUGCUCGUUUGUCAAAAAAGUAACUAAGUUUUACCUCUUCCUCGUUCUAAUCUUCCCCCCCUUUCAUUCUUGGAUCUUGGGUCGAGAUCCUCUUGUAGUGUAGGAGAGUUGUGACAGCCCGAGACCGACAUUCCAAAAGAUUCCCCUUUUAUUCCGUUCUUGUUGUGUGGUUCGUUUGUCUGUCGCAUUCAUCAUCGCAUCAUCCACAUUGCAUCGGCACCGCGUUGCCGCCAGUUUUGAAACAUGCGUCCGUUAUUAGUUGCCGGUUCUUUCCGUUUUCGUCACCGACCGUUUUGAUAUAGAUAAAAUGUUGUUUUAAUAUAGGUAGAUAUCAAAACGUUGAUAAAAUGUUGUUUUUAAAAGUGUCAGAAAAAUAUUCUCGGAUUGAGUCGAAACUUGGCGUGCAGUCUUAUUUUAAUAUAGGUAGGCCGCCUGCUAAAUUGAGUCGCAAUCGGAGUCCGUUUGAUACCCGAACGGUCAACCAUAGCGGCACCGUCUUCGGUUUAUUGUCGCACGUUUUUGAGGUUUUAAAUAUCGUUGUUGGGUCGCCCGUUUUCCCUCUCUUCCCCACCUAGCCACUCUACACAGCGACCUAGCCCCUACCCUCAACCAGGAUCGUUCGAUUUCCAUCCUACGGUCGAAAUUGGUGCGGGAUUCCGCAAACCCUAGCCCCUUCCUAUAAAUAGAUGCCCCUAACCUGCCCCUAACAGAAACCGUAGCCCCUACCUCGGGAUCCAUGCCACCCAACCGCCACAACCACCCUCCUUCCUCUCUCCUCCAGCCACCGGCCCGCGGAGCCCGGGUUGGGACCGCCUGAGCCCAUCUCGGCCCAGAUCGCGCCGGCCCAGAUCCGCCCGUCCCGAGCACCGACCCCCCCUCGGCGGCCACUACCGGCGGCCUCGAGCGCGAGAUCUGCUCCGCCGCCACCUCCUCUGUGCGGGAGGAGCACAAUGAGGCGCCUCCAGCGCUCGCCCCCACCCAGCUCCGCCGCCCUUUGGCCCAAGGCCCAGCCGGGACGUCGGCGUGCCUCCUCCCCCGAGCCGGCCCAAGUGGCCCAGUGAGUCCGGUUAUCCCUCUCCCCCGUUGCAAAAUUGAUAUCCCGAGCCAUGCCCAGUUUUAGCCCGUUUGCACAGAUUCCGCCUCUUAGUUUUUUUAGGUUUUGCAAUUUAGUAUUUCAGAAAAAGCUAGAUAUUAAAACGACCGUAGCUUUUAAUCCGUGUGUCGGUUUGCGACAAGUUAUAUAUGGAACUGGUGUAGUUUUUCUCGUAGAACAUUAUUUUGCAACUUGCAUGCAUAUUUGAAGUAGUUUGAACCACCAUUUGCUUAGAUUUGCAUGCUGUCCUAAUAGGUUAACUGUUGCGUAGAUGUUUUUGUGCGCGUCCGGUUUGUUCAAAUCCUGUAGAUAAAUUUUUCACAAUGUUCGUGACCCUUUGCCAUGUAUUUUAGAGUACUUACUUGCAUUUUUUUGCAUGUAGGAGCUGUCAAUAGUUUACUAUGUCGUGUUUAGGACAUAUUCUCGCAUAUAUGUGUGGCGUUAGUUUUAUUUUGCAAUCCCACAUAUUAUAUAUGUUUUCGGGGUAGAAAAAUCCAUAGAAUUUAACUGUCCAUUUAGUUUUGCCUUUCGAGUAAGUUAGCAUGCAUGAUAUUUUGCCAUGUGCCCUCUUGUUUAUUUUGUGGGAUUUAUUCCGUGCAUGAUAUGCAUGAGUUGUGAACUAGAGAUAUGCUCUUGGACAUGUAGACUAGCCCCUGGUAAUUUUGGUUGCUAUAGAAAUCCACGUUUAGGUGUUGUUUGCUUGUUGCCAAAAUGCUAGAAAAUAGUGCUGAUUUGGAGAUGCCGAAAUAUUUCCAAGUCUGACAUUUGUAAUAUUUUGUUGUUGUCUUGCCAUGAGUUUUUCUAGUGAUCUACAACUCCUUUGAGGUUGGUGCAAUGGAGUUAAUUGUAUUCCUUAAGAUUCUCUAGCAUGCUGUAAAAUUUCAUGCCAUGCGGUGCCCCGUAGCAUAAAGUUUUGCUGUUGUCAAAUGCCUUUUGGUUGGAAACUGCUCUGUCAAAGCUGUUAUUUUCACUAAGUGUGAAACUAUGUGUGAGAUUCCAUUUUGCGAUUUCUUUUCCUAGUGAUCCAUGCUUCCAUGCUAUAAGUUAUUACUAGGAUGUUGUAGUGCAUCUUGACCACUACUGCCUGAUGUCUUGUUUCAGCAUUUUAGAAUUAUGUAGCUUGUUGUUUUGGGGUGUAGAAAAUGCCAUGUUGCUGUUUUUGGACAGUUUGUAGAAACCUUCUUGGGAUCUCGUCUAGGUUCAUAUUAUGUUGCUGCCUUCUUGGUUAGGAAUGCUUGUGACUAUCAUUGUAUACAUAUUGCAUACAUGGCAUCAAUCUUGCGGUGAUCAUAUCUUUUGAACCGUAGCUCCGUUUGCAAUGAUCUCUGUGUGUAAAUUGAUUGGAACGAUGCGUAGAAUCACGUGAACCACUUUAUUUUGCUGUUUAAAAAAUAGUAAAACGUGUUAGUUCAGAUCUGGAAAGAAUUAUAAAUUAACGUAUGGGGUCAGUUCGAAGAUGGUAUAAGUCGUUUCCGACAUCAUUUAAAAUGCCUAGAUAGGUAGCUUAAUUACGCUUCACCUCUUGCCAUGUUUAACCAACAUUUAAUAUGGCCGUCAAAAUAAAUGGGAGUGAACUAAAUAAUUAAAUGUGGAGUUUCAUCAAUAUGCAACUCGUUGCACAUUGAACUUCACUUAAUAUGUAGUGUUUGAUUGUGUGAAUUGCCAUGUCAUUCCGUGCAUAAUUGAUACCGNCCUCUCAACAUUGCCAUGAAACCUUCAACCUUCUACAACCUAGCAAACCACUUAUUGGCUAUGUUACCGCUUGCUUAACCAUGUGUUAGCAUUGCUAGUUACGGGUGUAGUUGCUUCCAUGUGAUAACAUGGGUUCCUUGUUAUAUCACUAUAUUAAUGCUAUUUAAAUUAAUGCACCUAUAUACUUGGUAAAAGGUGGAAGGCUCGACCUUUCUAGCAUGCUGUUUUUUUCCACCUUGUCGCCUUAGUUUCGGCUACCCGUGUUAUAUUCCAUAAUUGAGCGCUCCUAACACGAUCGGGGUUGUUAUGGGGACCGCCUUGGUAUUCGUCUUAGAUUAAAACUGGUGUGGCAAGGCCCAACUUUUAUUCUACAUUUGCCUAAUGACUAAUAAAUAGCAUAUGGACCCACUGGCACCUACGGAUAAUUAAUCAACCCCCUGGUUAGUGCUCCGCAUGAGUGUUGGUCCAUGCACCUAGCAGUCAGUGGUGCCACCUCGGGGCAACUCGAGCGUUUGGCUACCGUCGACUAUGCAUAGACGGUUGUGUACUGAGAAUGAGAUAGGCGGUUCCUAUCGGGUUCGUCGACACACCGGGUGGCCUUGCUAGAUUAGUUUUACCUUUGAUGAAUGUCUUGUGCAUCGGGAUUCCGGUGAUGCUUUGGUUAAUCUCAGAGUUGAGGUUUUCCACUAAGGAGUCCCACGAGAUCAGGAGUUUUGUGAUCGAGGAUUUCUAUGCGGCUUGUGGUAAAUUGUGAUGGACUAGUUGGAGCACCCGUGCAGGGUUAAAUCUUUUGGAAAGUCGUGCCCGCGGUUAUGUGGCAACGUGGAAACUUUGUUUAACAUCUGGUUCUAGGUAACUUGAAGUAAGCUUAAUUAAAAUAUGCCAACUGAGUGCGUAACAAUGACUGUCUCUUUCGUGAGCUCCUUCUCCGGUCGAGGAUACCGUGGGGUUAUGUGUGACGUAAGUAGGUGUUCAGGAUCAUUCAUUUGAUCAUCAGUACUUCACGUCCGCUAUGCAUAGAUCACCCCCCUCUUUAUUUUUGUACUCGCAAGUUAGCCACUAAAUGAAUGCUUAGUCGCUUGCUGCAACCUCACCACUUAACCAUACCUCACCUAUUAAGCUUUGCUAGUCUUGAUACAUUUGGAAAUAAGAUUGCUGAGUCCCCUGUGGCUCACAGAUUACUACAACAUCACUUGCAGGUACAUGUAAAGUGAUAUUAAGACGAAAGCGUGAUGAUUGUUCAUUUGGAGUUUCUCUUUCUUCUUUAUCGAUCUAGGAUGGGUUCCAGGCCGGCAGCCUGGCAUAGCAGGGAUGUACGUCGUUCUUUUAUCGUUUUUUUUCGUCCGUAGACGGACCCUGCUCUUCUACAUGUUGAUUGUAUGUAUUGUAUUGCUGUGACUCUGACGUAGCUUGUGGCGAGUGUAAGCCAAUUCCAUAUACUCAUCUCUUCAAUACAUGUACUUGUAACGAUAUCCAUUCUUGCAAAACGACGAGAUGUGCUUCUAUUCCUGUCGAGGCCCUCGUGCCAAAAUAAGGAUAGGAUUGCAUCUUGGGUGUUACACUACUGUUGGAGGUCGUACCCCUGCACUUGUACCUCUGCUCAUUGAUUCAAUGCGGUACGAGCACAUGAGUCGCCACGGGAUGCAGAAUCCCGCCCCUAGGUUCUCCUAUGAGGGUCACCGUCAGCUACUUGGAUUUAGUGUUUUCUUCAACGUUGAUGUAGCAUUAUUACUAUGUCUCGUUGUUGUAUCCCUCCACCGCGUGCCUGCGUGCCGCCUAGUGAGUCCAGUUUAUCGCCUAAUGCAUCCACGUUAUCACCAAAUUUCAAAUUUGUAAUCGAUGGUCUGUAAUCAAACUUACGUAUGGGUACGUAUGUCGAACUUGACUACUAUAAAGUAUCUAUCGCAUUUCCUUUCGUCAUGUUUGAUUGCUUCAUGAAUGACUAAUAUGCCUUUGCAAUUACUUUAGGCUAAAGUACCCCUGUUAAAUUUUAGCAGGAUGGUUUGACCAGCUGGCCGCCCAUGUGGCCACGCAAACGAUCCACCACCCCUGCCUCCUAAAUAUAUGGCUAGGAUGAUCCAACAGUUUGAACUGAACCGCCAGUUUAUGCAAGGGCUCAUGGACCAGUUCCAAAGGCCGAACAUGGAUUAGCAGCAAGGUGUGACCCUGCAAGACUUCUGCCACCUCAACCCUGAGAUCUACUGUAGCUCAACUCAAGCCCUUAAUGCUGAUGACUGCCUCCGUGAAAUUGCUUAUGAGCUAGAGUCUACCAAUGUGCCCCUGGCGAGCUAUGCCAACUUUGCAGCUUACUUUCUGAAGGGUCCCGCUGCUCAAUAGUGGGACACUCACAGGCGUUCUCAGCCCGCUGGAACUGUCAUCACUUGGACAGAGUUCAAGGCUGCCUACCGUGCGCGCUACAUUCCUCGGGAAAUCAUGGACCGUAAGAAGCGUGAGUUCCGCAACCUUGUCCAGGGCAACAAAACUAUGGAUGCUUAUCAGCGGGAGUUUCUGGACUUAUCCCGCUAUGCUGAAGAAGACAUUGCAACUGAUGCUUGCAAACAGGAGAAAUUACGUGACGGCCUCCACCCUGACACCAAGCUGGCGCUCCUUACUCAGGACUAUGCUGAUUUCGCCACCCUAGUGAACAAGGCCAUUCAGGUUGAGACUGGUCUGCAGGAUUACAAGGAUAGCAGCAAGCGCAAUCGUGACAUGGGCUCAUCUUCAGGCUCAUUUGCUCAAAAGAGGAAGAUCUAGAUUCCAGACAACAUGUACCAUGCACCUGCUCCUGCUCCAAGGCCAUCCUAUGCUGCACCUCAUCUGCCGCCUUCACCACCUAGGCAGCCGUGGCUUCCAGCUCCACCACCUCGAGUUCCUCUUUCCCGUCCUGAGGUCGAAUUGUUCUUCAAGUAUGGCCGUCUAGGUCACCGUACUAGAGACUGCAGGCAGAAUCCGAACCAGCUGGCACUUCCCUCAACUGGCAAUGGCAACAACCAUAACCGCAACAACAAUGCGAAGCCUGCUUAUGUUUGUGGUUAGGCCAACAACAUUGAGAUGGGUCAGGAUCAGGACCAGCCUGCUACCCUGAUGGGUACACUUCUCGUUAACUCAGUACCUGCUUCUGUACUGUUUGAUACUGGAGCAUCGCGUUCCUUUAUGUCAGAAAUUUUUUGCAUACAUGCAUGACAUUAGAAGCGAAGAUAUGAACCUUCCGAUAGUGGUAAACACCCCUGGGGGCCAAUGUCGAACCUCUGUGGUUUGCCCCAAUGUUCUUAUAGAAAUCGAAGGAUUGGAAUUCCUUGCAGCUCCCAUUUUACUGAAGUCUUCCAACAUUGACCUUAUACUGGGAAUGGGCUGGUUGAAGGCUCAUACGGCUUCAAUUGGUUGUGCCACCAAAACUAUCCACCUCCCACACCCUUCAAAUGAACUAAUAAGCUAUCAUGCUCAUCUCGUCCGAGAUGCUGAGGCACAUCUAUAUGCCUUGAAUGCAUUAAAUGCGUCGCCUCUUGAAGGGAUCGAAAACAUACCAAUUGUCCGGGAAUUCCAAGAUGUCUUUCGAGAAGAACUUCCAGGGAUCCCCCCUGCUCGAGCUGUCGAGUUUGUCGUCGACUUGGUACCCGGUACCACUCCUAUCGCCAAGCGUCCUUAUAAAAUGGCACUGCAUGAACUUCUUGAACUUAAGCAAUAAACUGACAAUUCGCUUCGUCUGGGUUUCAUUCGUCCGAGUUCCUCUGCUUGGGGAGCACCUUCUCUCUUUGUUAAGAAGAAGGAUGGAACAAAUCGUUUGGUUCAAGACUAACGUCCUAUCAAUCAGGCCACUAUUCAAAAAAAUAUCCUCUUCCUCGGAUAAAUGAUCUGUGUGAUCAACUUGAUAGUUCCUUAGUUUUCUCUAAGCUCGACUUGAGGUUGGGAGACUACUAGAUCCGUGUUCACAAAGAGGAUAUCCCAAAGACCGCCUUUGUUACUCGCUAUGGAUCAUACGAGUAAACCGUCAUGUCCUUCGGCUUAACCAAUGCACUGGCAACCUUCUCUCGGUUAAUGAAUUAUAUAUUUAUGGACUACUCGACAAAUUCGUCGUGGUAUAUCUGGAUGAUAUUCUGGUAUAUUCCAAGAAUAAAGAAGAGCAUGUCGAACAUCUUUGUCUUGUACUGGAUAAGCUUUAGGAGCAUAAACUCUAUGCGAAGUUUUCCAAAUGUAGGUUAUGGCUGGACGAAGUGACAUACCUUUGUCAUGUGAUCUCCAAAGAUGGUAUUGCGGUGAACCCCGAACGAGUCCAAGCUAUUCUUGACUGGACUCCGCGAAGAAUGUCAAGCAAGUUAGAAGUUUCCUCUGACUCGCCAGCUAUUCCCGUCGAUUCGUCGAGAAUUUCUCAAAGAUUGCAAAGCCCUUAACCAAUCUACUUCACAAAGGCGUUAAGUAUGAGUAGACUGAUCAAUGUCAGGAAAGUUUCCAGGAACUCAAGGGUAAACUAAAGUCCGCUCCGGUACAUGCUCCUCCGGAUACAAAAAGGGAUUUCAUCAUAUAUUGUGACGCUUCUCGUCAAGGAAUAGGUUGUAUCCUUAUGCAAGAUCGCAAAGUGAUUGCUUAUGCAUCACGUCAGCUGCGUCCUCAUGAAGACAACUAUCCAGUUCAUGAUCUCAAGCUUGCAUGCNNNNNNNNNNNNNNNNNNNNNNNNNNNNNNNNNNNNNNNNNNNNNNNNNNNNNNNNNNNNNNNNNNNNNNNNNNNNNNNNNNNNNNNNNNNNNNNNNNNNCCUCUCCUCCUUCUUCUUCUCCUUUUUCCUCUUCCUUGCUUUCAUUUUCCUCUUUUUCUAUUCUUGUCCCCUUCUUCGGGCUAAAUUGGCUAAGAAUGCCUUUUUGGAGCUAAUUAUGUCAUUUCGAGGAUAAUUAGCUAAGUAUAGGUCAUUUUUUAUUAAAUAGGCCAUUUUGGAGCUAACUAAGCUAAUUAUGUCAUUUAGGUGGAACCCUCGCUAACUAUAGGAGAAGAGAAAGAGAAGUAGAAGUAAAAGAAGGAGGAGGAGGAGGAGAAGGAUAAGGAAGAGGAGAAGAAGAAGAAAAAGGAGGAGGAGGAGGAGGAGGAGAAGGAGAAGGAAGAGGAGAAGAAGAAGAAGGAGAAGAAGAAGGAGAAAAAGAGGAAGUCCCCUUCUUAUCCUUCUUCUUCUUAUCCUUUUGUCCCCUUCUUCUUCUCCUCCUCCCUCUCCUCCUUCUUCUUGGAGCUAACUAAGCUAAUUAUGUCAUUAGAUGGAAGUCUAGCUAUUUUGCAGCUAACUAAGCUAAUUAUGUCAUUAGAUGGAAGUCUAGCUAUUUUUUAUUAAAACACUAGAAAUAACAUACCUAAGUUAGGGUGAAGCACGGUGGAUCUGGCUUGUUUCACCUGGAGAAGGCCGCCCUGGAGAAGGCUCGACUGUAGAAGGGUCGCGCGAUGCGUUUCGGGACAUAUUCUGCGCCAAACAUCGUUUGCAAUGUGUAGUUAGCAUGAGGACACUCUUAAGAUCACUCCACUGAAAUGAAACUCAUCGUCCCCGCCACGUUAAUGACUGGCAUCGGCGGAGGGACUUGGCCGUUCUUCUUGCACAUAGACUGUACAUUUGGUUUCGACAAGUCAAACUUUUUAUUUAUUAAUGAAACGGACAUUCAAAUGCAAGAUUUGAAAUAACAUGAAGAAGAAACUUACCACGAAGAGCUCGUAUAUGGCCCUGGUAGACGCUUCAUUCCGUGCCCUCUCCGCCUCCACCAAUGCAGUCGUCCUCUCCUCCAGCUCCCUAAUUUCCUUAUCCUUCUCCGCCAUAGCCGCCUGCAUUGCCGCUCUCUCUUUCUGAAUAGCAGCCUGCAACACAACUCAUUGUUAGCAAUGUAAUCAUAUUGGUUCCAACGCACAACAUAAUGCGAAAAGAUAGUUGAGUCCAUUAAACUAACCUCGAUGGCGAGCUCGACUGGCCGUGGACGACGUGUUAUCUCCGGACAAGAGCUCGUUUGGCGUGCCUUUAUCUGCCGGAGAGUGCUAGGACAACGUAUAAGGCCGUCUCCAAUGGCGAGCGAGCCAUGGGGCCUCCCAUUGCCAGCUAUCAUCACCAGCUCUGGAUCAAUAGGCCCCUCACUCGGGUUAAAGUCCUCCCCUUUACUCGCCUUCCCGUGAUCUCUGUACUUCACGAGCUUGUCGUGGGAGGAGAUGUUGGUGAAGUUUUCUGGAUGCUCGAGGUCAGACUGAGAGAAUGCCUUGACCUUCUUGUACGAGGCAGUAUGGGCCAUCGCAUACAGGUCGUACAUCUGUGGCGCCUCCGUCUUAUUGUGACGCGCCUAAAAGAGAGAGAGCAGAAAAUUGUAUUGGUAAAGGGCUCAAGAUAGCAUUAAGAAUGAAUUGCAUGAGGCAUGAAGCAAAGCACAUACCCAGUUCUCGCCAAAUUGGAUUAAGUUGACGCUCCCUUGAUGGUGUGGCACGCCAACCAUUUUGCCACGCCUCUCCUUGGCGUUGUUGUGGCUGGUCUCCCAUGUUUCGGAGCACCACUGGUCCACCAAGGCCUCCCAACAAUCCAUCUUAUCCACACACCAUCUCGGGGGCACCUAAGUUAAUAAAGAGAAAAUUGAGUGCGUAAGAACCAAAUCAAGGAAACUAACUACAAAGCCUUAAUAAUAUGUAAUUACCUUCAUGUAAUGCUCCUUCUCAAUCUUAGCAUCACGGCACUUCGCCUUAUCAAUCCUAAUACGUCGCGUGGCAUAGUAGUCUCGAACAGCCUGCACCCGAGCCUCGUGCCGAAAGUUUUGAAGUAGGCGGCGACAUUCGGUUUCGAUAACCUUUGCCGCGUCGUCCUCGUAUCCCUCCUCACACCUGUAGAAGGUCUGCAAACGAGACAACACCGAUUAGUACAAUAAAUAGCUAUGGUUAAUUUAUAAUUGUGUGAAAGAGAAAUUACCCAAAACUUUCGGAUCACCAUGUCCGCCCUCGUGUCACACAAAACACCGUCGAUCUCCACCUCCGGCGGGGCCGGGGCACCCAAGUAGUGCUCCCAGGUCAUCCCUACCUCUCGCUCCCGACCGGGCAAUGUAACAAACCCUGGGAAGUUUUGACGGCAAAGAACACCGAGGACGCUGUUGGGCUUGCGGACACCCUUGGCAACAAUCCAACCCCUACAGUAUGACAAAUUGAAGCCAAAACAUUAGAUAUUUGAGAAAACGCGAAGGCAAAAGGUUAAAUAAGAGUAAAUUAACUUACUUGUCCCCAUUUGGCCUAAUCGACCACCUCUGGUCGGGGGUCGCUGGCACGAGCGGGAGCCCCGAACUACCACGCUGGUAGACGGUAUCCCACUGGGUAUCCCCCUCACCCAGCUCCUCGUCGCUACCAGCAUGGCCAGUUGGCUCAGGCCAGGUAUCCCAGUGGGUCUCUUGGGACGUACCCUCAUCCCUGCUGUGCUCCGCAGUCGUGUGGAAGGAAGCCUCUGGGACACGAGUAUCGUGGGUCAAAGGCUCGUCGACCUGAGGCUCGUCGACCCGAGGCUCGUGAACCGGAGACCGUGUAGCCUCCACCUCAGACGAAUCCACCCUAGAAGUCCUCCUGUGCUCAGGUGAAUCAGCUUGGGGUGGUGGCGGAGACCGUGUAGCCCUACCUCUCCCGCGGCCACGUGUACCUUUAGUACAACAUAAAUACCAACAUGAGUAAUAAAAUACCAAUAUGCAUACAACAUGAGUACAACAUAAAUACCAACAUGAAUACGACGUGUACCUUUAGUGCCUCUCGGCUUCGCGGGUGGUCGACCUCCUCUCACGGGGGCCGCUCCUUGCAUAGUAGAGAGCAACACUCUCCGAAGAGGCGAGGCAGGAAUGGAAGUACCCAUCCCAUCACCCGCCGACGAAGAAGCAGCCGCGGCAUGCUUUCGACCCUUUCCCACCAUCUUUCAACACCUGUCAUGACAAAGAGUAAAUGAAAUUAGUACAACAUAAAUACCAACAUGACUAAUAAAAAUUGAAUACCUAACAUGAACUCAAAAUUUAUAUAUAGUAUAAUAGUUGAAUACCUGACAUGAACUAAUAACAAUCGUCCUCGUCUAUAUAUGCUUCGGGGUCAAUAAAUGCAUCAUGAUCAUCACUAUCAUCAAUAAAUGCAUCAUCAUCAUCACUAUCUAGAAGAACAUGUGGAAGGCCACCAUUAUGUAAUCGGUCAAGAAGUGACAGGUCAUCCGCAGCAGUAACCUCUUCUUCUUCCAGCUCUUCCUGUUCGGGCUCAGGGGUUAAGAUGGAUUCACUGUCGCUGUCUACUUCAAUGUUCUGGGGUGAAGUAGAGCGGUUCUUGAAACGUUUCUUGGACAUACGUGUUUCUUGGAAGAAUUCUCCUUCAUAUGUGUCUGGGUUAAUGUGAGGUUCGUAAUCCUCUUCAUUGAGGGUAGGUGGUCUAAAAUGUGGUGGCACUUCAUAAACGACAUCCCAACCUUUGAGAUUUGGAUCAGUUUGGCAGGCCCACGGUAGAUAGAAAACUUGUGUCGCCUGUUGAGCCGUAAUAUAGACAUCGGGAACAUCUAAGUGGGUGUUUUGGUUGAUUUCGACUAGUCCUAUAUGUUCAUGAGUCCUUCUAGUCUCCCUCGGCUCAAACCAAUAACAUUUGAAGACUACGACGGUCGGUGGGUUUUCACAAUAGAAUAGAAGUUCAUAAAUUGCUUCAACCCUUCCAUAAUACUCAGUGUCUCCUUCGCCGAUAGCAGAGACAGAACAAUUUGUAGUCUUUAGGUCGGGCAUAGAUAGCUCUUUGCCAAAGGUACGAAAGUGAUACCCGUUGAUGUUGUAUUUGUCAAAUGAACGGACCUUAUAGUCAAAACCAUUAGCGACUUGUCUCAACUCGGCGUCCAUAGACUCUGCAUCAGCCUACAAGUUUAAUACGAAAGAAUGGAUGCAUUAGCCGCAAAUUAGACCAAUAAGUCAAAUGGGCCCUUAAUGGUAAUUAAUUACCCUUUGUUUGAACCAAGAGAUGAAACCAGGAUAGUCGCCUCCAUGCUUUGCGAGAAGCUCAUACUCUUCGACAGAAUCCUUUUCGAUGACUGCUCCAUCCGAGAAUUCGGCGACGUAUCGACUAUAUCAAAUAUCCGGGAAUAAGAGUGGUUCAAAGCAAUUAGAAGUUGCGGAACAAUAAAUUACCGAGAACUUACUCGAUGUACGGCCGCACUUCUGUUAGGUUGGUGAAGAUAUACAAUGAAAUGGUCCGCCAUUCUUCAACAUCCAACGAUUUCCCUUUUGAAGCACCGGAUGGUGCGAGCUUACCUUUGAAUAGGCUGAGGUUGGAUCGAACUUUUUCUUGAUCGCCAUCAUUGUACCGAGGCUUCGGGUUAUGCAAAUGAUAAUUUUUGGCUUCGUAGUGUGCUUUCACGAAGUUUGCCGCCUCCUCAGUAAUGAAUGCCUCGGCCAUCGAUGCUUCAAUUCUACGUUUAUUUUUACACUUAGCUCGAAGCGUCUUCUGCAUCCUCUCAGUUGAGUAGCACCAUCGAUUUUGAACGGGCCCCCCCAUUCUUGCCUCGGUCGGGAGAUGCAAAAUCAAAUGUUGCAUUGGAUUAAAGAAGCCCGGUGGAAAGAUCUUUUCUAAUUUGCAGACCAACUCCGGCGCCAACUCUUCCAUUUCAUCUAGCACGCCAGGCGAUAGUUCUUUCGCACAAAGAGAACGGAAGAAAUAGCUCAACUCUGCCAGUACUAGCCAUUCAUCCUCAGGGAUAAAGCCACGCAACAUCACCGGCAUUACCCGCUCAAUCCAUAUGUGCCAAUCAUGACUCUUGAGCCCAAAUAUUUUCAAUUUCUCAAGACUCGCUCCCCUCUUUAGAUUCGCAGCAUACCCAUCGGGGAACAUCAACCGCAUUUUCACCCACAAUAGCAUUUCCCUCAUAGCUGGCCUUUCAAUAUUGAACCAUGCCUUUGGCUUUGCUAUGCUUUGCUUUCCUUUCCGUUGUCGCAAGUUUUGCAACGGUCUAUCACAUAGAGCCUCCAGGUCGAUUCUAGCCUUAGGAUUAUCUUUUGACUUCCCCUCUAUGCCGAACAAUGUACCAAAAAUGGCCUUCGCAAUAUUCUUUUCAGUGUGCAUCACGUCAAUGUUGUGUGGGCAAAGGAGGUCUUUGAAGUAAGGGAGAUCCCAUAAGCAUGACUUGUGAGUCCAGGCGUGUUCCGUAUUAUACCCUUUGAAGUACCCUGGAUGCAAAGGAUCGGGCUCGAGAGCGUUUAACUGAUCAAGGGUCUGUUGGCCUGUCAACGCAGCUGGUGCAGUGUUUUUGACAACUCUACCUUUGAUGAAAUUCUUCUUGUCUUUUCUGAACUUAUGGUCAGGAUCCAGGAAUUGUCUAUGCAUGUCGAAGCAAGAAUACUUGCGACCAGCCUGCAGCCAACGGAACUGAAGAGCUGCCUUGUAUGUGGUGCACGGGAACCUUCCAUGCACACACCAGCCAGCGAAUAGCGCAAACGCCGGAUAAUCAUGCGUCGAGUACAUGUACCACACAUGCAUUUUGAAAUUUGUUUUGGUAGCCGCGUCGUAGGUCUUGAUCCCAUUAUCCCAGGCUUCUUGCAACUCAUCCUUAAGCGGCUGCAUGUACACAUUCAUAUUCUUCCCCGGAUAGUUGGGCCCUGGAAUUAUCAACGUCAGGAAAAUGUUCUUUCUUUUCAUAAUCUCUCCGGGUGGCAAAUUUAGUGGAAUGACAAAUACAGGCCAACAACUGUAUUGUGCUGCCGUCAUACCAUACACAUUGAACCCAUCCGUGCUGAUGGCAACUCUAGGUUGCCUUGGAUCUUCUGAUUUAUCCUUAUGUAAUGCAUCGAAGUGCCUCCACGCAAAACCAUCUGAAGUGUGUACCAGCAUCUUGUUCCCAUCCGCAUCUAGUUCGGUUCUUUUGCCCAAUUUGUGCCAUGUCAUCUGUCUGGCCGUCUCUUCGACCAUGAAAAGACGUUGAAGUCUUGGUACGAUUGGCAGAUAUCGAAGAACACUAAUGGGGAUUUUGGUCUGAUUCUUCUCACCCAUGCCGUUGUCUACCACAAUAUACCUGGAAGAAUUGCAAAUGGGGCAAUAGUUCAAGGCCGCAUACUCAAGCCUAAAUAAGGCACAUCCAUUCUCACAGGCAUGUAUCUUCUCAUAGGGCAUCUUUAGUACACGGAGGAUUUUCUCUGACUGGUACAGGUUUGCAGGCAGUACAUGGCCUUUGGGUAGAAAGCGUCCAAAUAUCGUCAUCAUCGCGUCGUAGCAUUCUCUGCCUAGGUUGAAUUGAGCCUUCAGAGCCAUUACUUGCGCGAUGGCAUCCAGCUGACAAAGCUCAGUCUGCUCGUGGAGAGGACGUUUUGAAGACUCCAGCAUUUCAUAGAAGGCCUUUGCAGAUUCCUCCAUCUCAUCGUCCGAAUCCCGAGCAUCAUCAAAGUCUUGCACCAUGUCUUCAAUCCCGGUACCAUGCUCGUCGGUGCGACGACGAAUCACCUCAGCUCUGGCACGUUGGCCAGACUCACCAUGAAAAGUCCACACCGUAUAAUUAGGCGUAAAACCCCACUUCUGCAAGUGUUUACCCAUUUCAAACUCUGUCUGCUUUUUCCAGUUGUCGCAGCUGGGACAGGGGCACCAUGUUUUUUGCUGGCCAUUUGCAAAUGCGGCUCUCACAAACCCCCUGGUUUUUGUUAACCAUUCAUGGGUCAUGUCUUUCUGACUAGGGUGACCAGUGUACAUCCAAGCACGAUCACUCAUGUUGCCUAGCUACCUAUGGGGGCACAAGAAAUAAAUACAUAAUUCAUCAUCUAUAUUCAUACGCUAAUCAAGUUUGUCAGUUUUAUUACGUCCAUGCAACCUACACGCUAAUAGGUAAAGAUAGGUCCUAAUCCCACCCGAGUAUGUGUAGACUGGGUUCGUUUUCCCAUGCUCUGCUCCAGAUGCGACGCACAAUUUCGGCAGCACCUCCCCGCUGUUCUCCUGAUACACGUCUCGGCAAUAAGCAGAGAGGAUGUGUACCCGGAGAACAACAGGGGAGGCACUGACGAAAUUCCACAUCGGAUCCGGAGCACAGCAUACGGGAAAACAAACCCAAUCUACACAUACUCGGGCUGUCCAUGGAUAAUGUUGGACAAUUCGAAAGGAUGGCGGUUAUAAAUAUGCAAAGAAAUGCAUAUUUAUAGAUGUCGCCCUUUCGAACGGGAGACGCAUACUGGUCACGCAUACUCAUGAUUGAAGAAACCUAUAGCUAGCAAGUUUCAUCGGCACGAAGACCGGGACAGAGCAAAUUAAGGGGGUAGGAGGAGAAGUCAUUUGUGCUCACCAACAAACGCAAGGGCGGAGCUCGUCCAACGCACGUGGAGGUCGUCGAACAACUGCACAUUGAAAUUCACCCGAUCAACACAAAUACGAUGUUUUUAUAAUUAACAUGAUCGGAAAAUAUGUGACCUAACUCAUAAUUUUCAAAACUAUGACCCCGUGGGCCUCUGGAAGGCCGAAAAGCACCUUCUCGUUCAAAAGAAGGCAGAAGAGGUGUCGGGGGUCGGGGCUUAGUGGCGUCGGGAGUCAGUGCCGUCGAGGGUCAGUGGCAUCGGGAGUCGGGGGGUUAGUGGCGUCGGUUGUGGGGGGUCAGUGGCGUCGGGGGGCCAGGGUCAGUGGCGUCGGGGGUCCAGGGUCAGUGACGUCGGGUGUCAGUGGCGUCGGGGGUCGGGGGUUGGUGGCGUCGAGCGUCGGGGGUCGGGAGUCGUGGGCCGAGGGGCUGGGUCGGGGGCAGUGGCGUCGGGGGUCGAGGGUUAGUGGCGUCGGGGGUCAGUGGCGUCGGGGGUCGGGGUCCGGGGGUUAGUGGCGUCGGAGGUCGAUGGUCGGGGGUCAGUGGCGUCGGGCGUCAGGGGUCGGGGGUCGAGGGUCAGUUUCGGGGUGCCGGGGUUCCCUUUUCCUCUUCUUUCUUCUUCUCCUCUCUCCUCUUUUUCUUCUUCUUCUUCUNNNNNNNNNNNNNNNNNNUCUUCUUCUUCUUCUUUUUUCUCCUCCUACUCCCCCUCCUCUUUUUCUCCUUCUAUUCUUUUUCUUCUUCUUCUUCUUCUUCUUCUUCCUCUUCUUCUUCUUCUUCUUCUUCUUCUUCUUCUUUCUCCUCCUCUUUCUCCUCCUCCUCCUCUCCUCUUCUUCUUCUUCUUCNNNNNNNNNNNNNNNNNNNNNNNNNNNNUCUUCUUCUUCUUCUUUUUUCUCCUCCUCCUCCUCCUCCUCUUCUUCUUCUUCUUCNNNNNNNNNNNNNNNNNNNNNNNNNNNNNNNNNNNNNNNNNNNNNNNNNNNNNNNNNNNNNNNNNNNNNNNNNNNNNNNNNNNNNNNNNNNNNNNNNNNNNNNNNNNNNNNNNNNNNNNNNNNNNNNNNNNNNNNNNNNNNNNNNNNNNNNNNNNNNNNNNNNNNNNNNNNNNNNNNNNNNNNNNNNNNNNNNNNNNNNNNNNNNNNNNNNNNNNNNNNNNNNNNNNNNNNNNNNNNNNNNNNNNNNNNNNNNNNNNNNNNNNNNNNNNNNNNNNNNNNNNNNNNNNNNNNNNNNNNNNNNNNNNNNNNNNNNNNNNNNNNNNNNNNNNNNNNNNNNNNNNNNNNNNNNNNNNNNNNNNNNNNNUUCUGCUUUUUUUCUUCUAACCUAACUAACUAACCUAAUUAGCCUAAUAAUCUAACCAAAUAAACUAACUAAAUUACCCUAUAUAUAAUAAAAAAACUAACCUAAUAAACUAACUAAAGUAAUUAACUUUUUUAAAAAGAAAAACAAAAAAAACUCACCGGCAGGGGGCGGCGGCGGCACGGGGGCGCGCGGCUGGGGGCUCGCCGCAGGGGGCGUCGGCGGCANNNNNNNNNNNNNNNNNNNNNNNNNNNNNNNNNNNNNNNNNNNNNNNNNNNNNNNNNNNNNNNNNNNNNNNNNNNNNNNNNNNNNNNNNNNNNNNNNNNNAGCGUCCAGUUCAGAAGGUUGAUGAGCUCCUUUCGCCAUAGGCAUGUAGUCUUCAGAGAAGAACCCAGCCGAAUCUCCCCUUCACCCGUAGGGUGGUCAAGCUCAAGGUCCUCAAAUUCGUCUGUUAUUUGAUCCACCAUCACCCUAGCAUGUCCUUCUGGAAUCGACCGACCGUGGUAGGUUGUGCCCGGUUCAGUAGGUAAAACAACUCCAACAGCCGCCUUUACUUUGAAUGUCAUCCAUCGCGCCAUAAGGUGGCAAUGUUGAAACUCUGUGAUAGCAUCCACGGGGUAGCUAGCAGGAGCCGUGAAGAUAGGGUCCAGCUGCUGAGUCUGCUCGGUGGAAGCCACGCUGUUUCUCCGCUGAGAUGGCGGGGUAGCUUCAAGGGAAGCUUCGGCAGGUCGUUUGUUGCGAUCUGCUUCUCGUUCCUCUAGCCCUUGUACCCUUUCGUGCAACGCCUGCAGUUGGCUAUGCUCCACUUUCCUCCUCCUCUCCUGGCAUUUGUAACCCCGUGCGUCUGGAAACCCAACCUUCCACGGAACGGAGCCUGGCGUGCCUCGUGUCCAUCCAGGGUGCUCAGGAUUCCCGAGGGCCAUUGUGAGCUAGUCCUUCUCUCUGUCUCGAAUGAACGCCCUUUGAUGCGCUUUCUCGAUAUACUCCAUAAGCCUCGUGACGGGUAUUCGCAGUUGCUCUUCCGUCCAAACGCACUUCCCUUUCUGACUUCAUUUGUUAUUUUUCAUGCAUUUACUGAUUAUUUUGAGCUAUAAGACCAUGAAAUUGAAAAGCAUUUGAAAUGAACUCUGAAAAGGUUCCAAGUUGGCAGUGGUGACAAUUUUAACACAACAUAUGAUAUCCAUUACAUCUAGGGCACAACAUUACAUUUGCUCAAGUUCACAACAGUGCACAAAUGAUAUAAUUACAUCUAGGGCACAACACACUAGCAGAAACAUAACACACACACUGCCACUUAAUUGGCUUGCUUAGACCAAAUAGAAACUAAACUAGCCACAAUGUUGAUGCCAAGAACAAAGAGAAAACCCAUUGUUUCCAUGAGCUCAUUCCUUUUCUUCAACUUCAAUUGCAUUUUCUUGUUUUCAUUGUUCAGAUCCAUAACCUUCUUCUCCAUCCUACUAGCUUCGAUCCAACUACGUUCAAGGCCACCAUGGAGCUCCUCAAAAGCUUGCCCCACUAGCUCAGUGUGAGGGGGGUCAAUCCAAACAACCCAAUCACACCCAUCACGAAGCUGUUAAAUCAGAGUUCACAUAAUUAGGUGAAAUUCAUAACUUUGCAAUAAAUCGAUGAAAACAGAGUACCAAAUGAUGUUUUGAGGAAUUACAUCGAGUGGACAACCCAAAAACCUUCUUCCCGUGCUUGCUCCACCCCAAGAAACACGGCGAGCAGGAAUUAGCCCAUAACCCAGGCAACGGUGAUUCGAGCGCUCCUNNNNNNNNNNNNNNNNNNNNNNNNNNNNNNNNNNNNNNNNNNNNNNNNNNNNNNNNNNNNNNNNNNNNNNNNNNNNNNNNNNNNNNNNNNNNNNNNNNNNCGAGGAUAAUUAGCUAAGUAUAGGUCAUGUUUUCUUAAAUAGGCCAUUUUGGAGCUAACUAAGCUAAUUAUGUCAUUUAGGUGGAACCCUAGCUAACUAUAGGUCGUUUCAGAGCUAACUUGGGUAAAAUAGGUCAUUCCGGAGCAAAUUAUGCUUAUUAAGCCAUUUUUGAGCUACCUUGGCUAGUUAUAGGCCAUUUAAUACCUAAGUUAGGGGGAAUAGGUCAUCUUGCAACUACGUAAGCCUUAUUAUGUCAUUUAGGAGAGAACUUAGCUAACUAUAGGUCAUUUUUUAUUAANNNNNNNNNNGGAGCUAACUUGGGUAAAAUAGAUCAUUCCGCAGCAAACUAUGCUUAUUAAGCCAUUUUAGAGCUACCUAGGCUAAUUAUAGCCAUUUAAUACCUAAGUUAGGGGGAAUAGGUCAUCUUGCAGCUAUGUAAGCCUUAUAAUGUCAUUUAGGAGAGAACUUAGCUAACUAUAGGUCAUUUUUUAUUAAAUAGGUCAUUUUGAGGCUAACUAAGCUAAUUAUGUCAUUUUGUAGGAUAAUUAGCCAAUUUAGUCUUUCUUGGAUGAGUCUAAGCUACGAAGAAGAAGAGAAAGAGAAGAAGCAAGAAGAGAAGAAUAAGUAAAAGAAGAAGAAGGAGGAGGAGGAGGAGAAGGAGAAGGAAGAGGAGAAGAAGAAGAAAAGAAGAAGGAGAAUGAGAAGAAGGAAGAAUGAGGAAGAAGAAGGAGAAGGAGCUCCUUCUCCUUCUUCUCCUCCUCCUUCUCCUUCUUCUUAUCCUCCUCCUUAUCUUAUUCUUCUUCCCUUCUUCUUCUUCUUCUUCCUUCCUUUAAUUUUUCCUCUUUCUUCUCCUCUUGUCCCCUUCUUCGGGCUAAAUUAGCUAAGAAUNNNNNNNNNNUAGAAGAAGAGAAAGAGAAGAAGCAAGAAGAGAAGAAGAUGUAAAAUAAGAAAGAGGAGGAGGAGGAGGAGAAGGAGAAGGAAGAGGAGAAGAAGAAGAAAAGAAGAAGGAGAAGGAGAAGGAGGAAGAAGGAGGAAGAAGAAGGAGAAGGAGGAGCUCCUUCUCCUUCCUCUCCUCCUCCUUCUCCUUCUUUUUAUCCUCCUUCUCUCCUUCUUCUUCUCUUCUUCUUCUUCUUCUUCCUUCCUUUCAUUUUUCUUCUUUCUUCUCCUCUUGUCCCCUUCUUCGGGCUAAAUUAGCUAAGAAUGCCUUUUUGGAGCUAAUUAUGUCAUUUCGAGGAUAAUUAGCUAAGUAUAGGUCAUUUUNNNNNNNNNNNNNNNNNNNNNNNNNNNNNNNNNNNNNNNNNNNNNNNNNNNNNNNNNNNNNNNNNNNNNNNNNNNNNNNNNNNNNNNNNNNNNNNNNNNNUACGCUUGUGGAACUCUAUCGAGACGAAGCAAACCGGAAACAAGAAUCAACACACGAUAUUCACCACAUGAUGCACAACACAUAUGAUGCAUGAACGGUAUCAAUUAUGCACGAAAUGACAUGGCAAUUCACACAUUCAAACACUACACAUUAAGUGAAGUUCAAUGUGCAACGACUUGCAUAUUGACGAAACUCUACAUUUAAUUAUUUAGUUCGCUCCCGUUUAUUUUCACAGGCAUAUUAAAUGUUGGUUAAACAUGGCAAGAGGUGAAGCGUAAUUAAGCUACCUAUCUAGGCAUUUUAAAUGAGGUCGGAAACGACUUAUAGCAUCUCCGAACUGACCCCAUACGUUAAUUUAUAAUUCUGUCUAGAUCUAAACUAACACGUUUUAAUAUUUGUUAAACAGCAAAAUAAAGUGGUCCGCGUGAUUCUACGCGUCGUUCCAAUCAAUUUACACAUAAAGAUCAUUGCAAAUAGAGCUACGGUUCAAAAGAUAUGAUCACCGCAAGAUAUGAUGCCAUGUAUGCAAUAUGNNNNNNNNNNAUCACAAGCAUUCCUAACCAAGAAGGCAGCAACAUAAUAUGAACUUACACGAGAUUCCAAGCAAGUUUCAUAUAUAGCACAUUCUAAACGGAGCAACGGUUCCACAAAUACAAGCUAAACAAGAAAUGACUACAAACUGUCCAAAAACAGCAUGACAUUUUCUACACCCCAAAACAACAAGCUACAUAAUUCGAAAAUUCCCAAACAAGACAUGAGGCAGUAGUGGUCAAGAUGCACUACAACAUCCUACUAAUAACAUCUAGCAUGGCAGCAUGGAUCACUAGGAAAAGAACUCACAAAAUGGAAUCUCACACACAGUUUCAUACUUAGUGAAAAUAACAGUUUUGACAAAGUAGUUUCCAACAAGAAGGCAUUUGACAGCAGCAAAACUAUAUGCUACGGGGCAUCGAAUGGCAUGAAAUUUUAUAGCAUGCUAGAGAAUCUUAAGGAAUACAAUUAACUCCAUUGCACCAACCUCAAAGUAAUUGUAGAUCACUAGCAAAAUUCAUGGCAAGACAGCAACAAAAUAUUAUAAAUGUCAGACUUAGAAAUAUUUCAGCAUCUCCAAAUCAGCACUUUUUUCUAGCAUGUUGGCAACAAGCAAACAACACCUAAACAUGAAUUUCUAUAGCAACGAAAAUUACUAGGGGCUAGUCUACAUGUCCAAGGGCAUAUCUCUAGUUCACAACUCAUGCAUAUCACGCACGGAAUAAAUCGCACAAAAUAAUCAAGAGGGCACAUGGCAAAAUAUCAUGCACGCUAACUUACUCGAAAAGCAAAACUAAAUGCACAGACAAAUUCUAUGGAUAUUUUUACCCCGGAAACAUAUAUAAUAUGUGGGGUUGCAAAAUAAAAUUAACGCCACAUAUAUAUGCGAGAAUAUGUCCUAAACACGACAUACAAACUAUUGACAGCUCCUACAUGCAAAAAAAUGCAAGCAAGUACUCUAAAAUACAUGGCAAAGGGUCAUGAACAUUGUGAACAUUUUAUCUACGGGAUUUGAACAAACCGGACGCGCACAAAAACAUCUACGCAAUAGUUAACCUAUUAGGACAUCACGCCAAUCUAGGCNNNNNNNNNNNNNNNNNNNNNNNNNNNNNNNNNNNNNNNNNNNNNNNNNNNNNNNNNNNNNNNNNNNNNNNNNNNNNNNNNNNNNNNNNNNNNNNNNNNNAAACAAUAUGACGUGCGUAAAUAAUAAUAUUCACAAUUUUAUUUUAUUACCAUCAUUUGUGUUCAGUUUCAUUUAUUCAUAUAUAUGUAUUGACCCCCUUCUUCAAAUUAGAUAUUUCGGAUGCGGAAUGAACUCCUACCAGCAGAUCGUAUGCGAGGAAUUCAAGAGGAAUUGGCGGCAUUCUUUCUUGACCACGUGAUCGCUAAAGACGGAGAAUACCAUGUGAACCCUAAUCAGUUGAGUUUUAAUUAGGAGAUUAUAUUGUAAGAGAUAAUUAUAUUGUAUAUAUGUAGCCAGUAGCGUCGGAUAGAUAUACGAGAACUUGUUAUUCGACCAAUCUCUCAGAGAAGGAGAGGUGGUCGAUAUCACUUCUCUCUGUAUGCAUAUGUUCAUGACGAUCUUCUGUUUCCUUCAUUUGCUUACUAGCUAGCGUGUGUAGUCCUCUCUAUACGUAUAGUAUGUAGCAUCGACCAAGCACGGAGAUAAGAGAGGACACUUCUCUCUAUUCAUUAGCUAGCUAACACAAUAUAUGAAACACCUAAAUUAACCCCCCCAAACCCCCUAACCCCCCUUUCAAAAAAACAAAAACCCCAGCACGUGAAAUGCUGAUGCGUGGAUGCCUUUUGGUCCCGGUUGGUGUCACCAACCGGGACUAAAGGUCCCCCUGCCUGGGCUCACCGCAUCGGCCACGUGGAGGCCCAUCUGUCCCGGUUCGUGUAAGAACCGGGACUAAAGGCCAAGGGCAUUAGUAACGACCUUUUAGUCCCGGUUCCGAAACCGGGACAGAAAGCCCUUACGAACCGGGACAAAAGGCCCCUUUUCUACUAGUGUUCAGAUGUCAAAUUGCAGCAGUCAUUUGCUUUUAGGGGAAAACUAGUAUAUGCUCGACUGAUUCAUCUUUCGCCUCAGGCAAACAAAAAGGUCAAAUCUUUUGAAGACUGUAAGAAAUAGUUUCAAAGUAACACUGGUCAUAAUAUAUAUGUGGCUAUUUGGUGAUUUGACUAAGAAGUAAAGUUCUACUCAACAUAUUCACNNNNNNNNNNGUCCUUUGCAUAAUCAUGCAUACCAGGCAUGUUAAUCUACUUCAUAUUAUCUACUUCUUACAAAAUUAGUAUACACUGGGAUGGAGCCCAUAUUAGAGCCCAAAAAUAGUACCAUGCUGGCUGCACCUCAUAUAUUGCCUUUCGAAAAAAUCACACACAAGUAUAUGAUUGAUGAGGUUCCGAAUAAGGUCACAUUAAAUACUAUGUAUUAUCCCACACAAAAAACAUGUAUUUCUUGACCAUGUGAUCGCUAUAGACGGAGAAUACCAUGUGAACCCUAAUUAGUUGAAUUUUAAUUAUGAGAUUAUAUUGUAAGAGAUAAUUAUAUUGUAUAUAUGUAGCCAGUAGCGUCGGAUAGAUAUACGAGAACUCGUUGUUCGACCAAUCUCUCACAGAAGGAGAGGUGGUCGAUAUCACUUAUCUCUGUAUGCAUAUGUUCAUGACGAUCUUCUGUUUCCUUCAUUUGCUNNNNNNNNNNCUAGUCCUCUCUAUACGUAUAGCAUGUAGCAUCGACCAAGCACGGAGAUAAGAGAGGUCACUUCUCUCUAUUCAUUAGCUAGCUGACACAAUAUAUGAAACACCUAAAUUAACCCCCCAAAACCCCCUAACCCCCCCUUUCAAAAAAAAACCCCAGCACCUGAAAUGCUGACGCGUGGAUGCCUUUUGGUCCCGGUUGGUGUCACCAACCGGGACUAAAGACCCCCCCUGCCUGGGCUCGCCGCACCGGCCACAUGAAGGACCAUCUGUCCCGGUUCGUGUAAGAACCGGGACUAAAGGCCAAGGGCAUUAGUAACGACCUUUUAGUCCCGGUUCCGAAACCGGGACAGAAGGCCCUUACGAACCGGGACAAAAGGCCCUUUUUCUACUAGUGUUCGGAUGUCAAAUUGCAGUAGUGAUUUUCUUUUAGGGGAAAAUUAGUAUAUGCUCGACUGAUUCAUCUUUCGCCUCACGCAAACAAAAAGGUCAAAUCUUUUGAAGACUCUAAGAAAUAGUUUCAAAGUAACACUGGUCGUAAUAUAUAUGUGUCUAUUUGGUGAUUUGACUAAGAAGUAAAGUUCUACUCAACAUAUUCACGUGUGCCUUUGCAGAAUCAUGCAUACCAGGCAUGUUAAUCUACUUCAUAUGUUAAUCUACUUCAUAUUAUCUACUGCUUACAAAAUUAGUAUACACUGGGAUGGAGCCCAUAUUAGAGCCCAAAAAUAGUACCAUGCUGGCUGCACCUAAUAUAUUGCCUUUUGAACACAAGUAUUAUGAUUGAUCAGGUUCAGAAUAAGGUCACAUUAAAUACUAUGUAUUAUCCCACACAAAAAACAUGNNNNNNNNNNAUCUCUCCACACCGAUUAUUGCUGACUCAAGGUCAUCCUCCUUAGAUUCGUUAGGCCGUGCUCAAGUAGGACUACACUUUUCUGGUCAUCUGAGGCUAUUUGUUUCUUUUUUUGCAGAAAUAAAUCACAUGAGAGAGAGAUAGAUAGAUAGAUAGAUAGGUAGAGAGAGAGAGAGACCUCGGGUCCCUCUGAUGUACAACCACACAACUACUUGACCUCGUUACUGGGAACUUGAUGAAUGGUGUGUUGCGGGUGGAUUUCCAUGUGCAUGAGAUGAUGAGUUAAUUAAAAUGCUAUUGGAUUUGGAUAUUUGAUCUGAGUUUGUAGGGAGACCUUUUCGCACUAACCUUCACAUGGGAGAAGUUAUGGGUACUUGACGUCGUAGUAUCAGCCGAAGCUCUUCAUACGUCUGCAAUGGAGCGGCGCGUGCCCGAGUGGCCCGGAUAAACAUCAUUCUUGUAUAAGAGGUGCCACGACUGACAUCGAUCACCCACGCAUCAUGCAGGAGCGCAAAGGGUGAUGGGCCCAUAACCCGUGCGCGCUUAGGAUUUAGACCGACAGAGGGCCUCUGUGUUGAGCCUAGGUAGGGCUGGGAUGUGUUGAUGUUCCGAGGCCUGGCAUGACCCAGGAAAGUGUGUCCGGCCAGAGUUUAUCAAGCGUGUUGGGUACUGUGGUGCGCCCGUGUAGGGAUGAAAAUUAACCAUUUGAAUAGUCGUGUCCACGAUUACAGGACGAUUUGGAGUUGUGCCCUGAUCUUAUACAACUUGAACUGUUACUUAACUGGAAUGUUUGCUCCGGCAUUGCUUCCUCACAAGGAGUCGAGGAAGAAUCUAUGGAUGUGACUUUAAUUCAUAUUGCUGCAACAAUAUGACUAUUAAUUGUGUUACUUGCUCUACUCUCGUCUAUUGCUGCAAGACCCCUGAAGAUGCCAGUCUUCGAUAGGACUAGUCCCCUCUCUUUAUUCUCGCAUUGCUGCAGUUAGUCCACGUAUAACCCCUUCCUUUGAUACUGAUGCAUACUUAGCAUAGUUUUGAUGUCAGUCUUGCGAGUACUUUGGAUGAGUACUCACCGUUGCUUUGCUCCCCCUUUUCCCCUUGAUCCGUUGCUGCGACCAUAUGAUGGAGCCGAGGAGAUGGCGUAUCCCACCGACGACGUCUACUACCACGACGGUGCCUACUACAACGUGGAGGACGCUGAAGACCAGGAGUAGUUUAGGAGGUUCCCACGCAGGAGGCCUCGCCUCGUUCGAUCGUUGUAUCUUUUGUGUGAGCCUUCUCUAAGGCAUUAUCAUGUUUCAUGUCUGUACUCAGAUAUUUGUUGCUUUCGCUGACUCGUGUGUUUUUCGAGCUUCUGUAUUCUAGUCCUCGAGGCCCCUGGCUUGUAAUACGAAGCUUGUAUGUUUUAUUUGUGUCUAGAGUUGUGUUGUGAUAUCUUCCCGUGAGUCCUUGAGCUUGGUCGUACGCAUUUGCAGGUAUGAUUAGCGUACGAUCAAAUCGAGGGCGUCACAAGUUGAUAUCAAAGCCGACUGCCUGUAGGUAGCCCCCUUUCCAACUCCUUGGAUGAAGUUGAGUCUAGUAUUUGAAAAACUUACUAACAUUGUUGUGUGGCUUACGGGCCGACAUCUCAAUCAGAUGGUAUUAGUAUCUUUUACUCCUUUUCUAUACUCUGGGUUCUACUCUCUCUUCUCUUCCGGGUUAAAGAUUUUGCUAACUCUAACAUUAGGUUCUCAUAAUCACAUCGACCCGGAGAGCUAGAUUAUCUACGGUAGUUCAUCUGAUAAUAUGUUAUACACUCUAUCACUUGACAUCCUUGAUGUUUCCUUUUCAGAUGCGUCCCGCAAGGCAGACCGUAUGCCUGACUAUGGCUGUCGAUGCGACCGGGUUCUCGGCUAUUCUGGUUGACCUCUUGACCAGGAUGGGAUAUCGCUGGUACCUCGAGUACACUGUGUAUGAGGACUUCUGCGAGUUCAACCAGUACCAGUACCAGGCUGAAGUUCACAUCUUCGAUCGGACGGACACCUCCACCCACGAGCUGCACACCUUCUGCGGUGUUGGGUUGUCGAUCGAUAUGGCCGUCCAUGAUGCGUCCUAUAUCGCUAUCACCCGCCGCCGUGGAUCGUACCCUUGCAUGGAGGAGACCGCCUUUAGAUACAUCAAGUAUGUUCCUGUUGGGGAUGAGACUAGAUCUAAUCAUACUGCCUAUGUUGCUCGCGUUCAGGAGCGCAACGAUUGGUCCCACGUUGCUGUUUGUACCUCCUACGUGAGGCAUCGCUACGACCCAUAGGUUUUGGUGCAGUACAUGGAGGCGCUGGAUCGUGCCUUCCGAGCUCAGACUGUGGAGCUGUAUGCCAUGCGUACCUGUCUUUACGACGCGUUGACACAACUGCAACCAAUAGUUGAUGCGAGGAUCCACCCUUCGUUUAUCCUUCACCCAUGCAGGACAGAGCUACCACCAGGUCUUGAGUGGCCUGCUUGUGACAGCCCGAGAUCGACGUUCCAGAAUAUUCCCCUUUUAUUCCAUUCUCGUCGUGUGGUCCGUUUGCCUGUCGCAUUCAUCAUCCCAUCAUCCGCGUUGCAUCAGCACCGUGUUGUCGCUAGUUUUCAAACCUACGUAUGUUAUUAGUUGCCGGUUCUUUCUGUUUUCGUCGCUCACCGUUUUGAGACCAACCGCACACGCACGCACCCGCGACAUGGAUAAAAUAUUGUUUUUAAAAGUGUGCAAAAAAUAUUCUCGGAUUGAGUCGAAACUUGGCGUGCGGUCUUAUUUUAAUAUAGGUAGGCCGCCUGCCCAAUUUCGUCGCAAUCAGAGUCUGUUUGAUACCCGAACGGUCGAGCGUAGUGGCACCGUCUUCGGUUUAUCAUCGGACGUUUUCGGGGUUUUAAAUAUCGUUGCCGGGUGGCCCGUUUUUCCACUCUUCCCCACCUAGACACUCUACACAGCCACCUACUCCCUCCGUCCGGUGAAGAGUGUACUUUUGGCUUUAAUUUUUUCCACAAAAGAGUGUACUUUUAUCUUUUUAAUGCACUUUAAAGUAUAAAAAAUGCUUCUCUCUCAUCACACGGUAAUCAAGACCAAUAACAUUCUAUAUACAGUUUUCUACACGCACUUAGCUCAUUCGGGGUUAGGUAAUUAAAGAGGAGAGAGAUGGUGUGUUGCACCUUUCCAAUGCAUUUUUUUACUCCACUUCAUAAUUUGUCCUAAAAUGUCUAUAUGUACACUUUUCACCGGACGGAGGGAGUAGCCCCUACCCGUGACCAGGAUCGUCCGAUUCCGAUCCUAUGGUCGAAAUUGGUGCUAAAUUCCGCAAACCCUAGCCCCUUCCUAUAAAUAGAUGCCCCUAACCUUCCCGUAAUGGAAACCCUAGCCCCUGCCUCGGGAUCUGCGCCACCCAGCCGCCACAGCUAGCCUCCUUCCUCUCUCCUCCAGCCGUAGGCCCGUGGAGCUCGGGUUGGGCCCGCCUAAGCCCAUAUCGGCUCGGAUCGCGCGGCCGCCGCCCCGUUCUGCCCCGAGCCCCGGCUCCUCCCGAUCUCCUUCCGCUCCUGGGCGCAGCCGCCCUCUCCCCGUAGGAGCCCCUCGACGCCGCGCACCUGGGCGCCGGAGCGNNNNNNNNNNNNNNNNNNNNNNNNNNNNNNNNNNNNNNNNNNNNNNNNNNNNNNNNNNNNNNNNNNNNNNNNNNNNNNNNNNNNNNNNNNNNNNNNNNNNAAAAUGACCUAUACUUAGCUAAUUAUCCUCGAAAUGACAUAAUUAGCUAAUUAUACUUAGGAAAAAGGAGAAGAAGGAGGAGAGGGAGGAGGAGAAGAAGAAGGGGACAAAAGGAUNNNNNNNNNNNNNNNNNNNNNNNNNNNNNNNNNNNNNNNNNNNNNNNNNNNNNNNNNNNNNNNNNNNNNNNNAAGGAGGAGAAGAAGAAGGGGACAAAAGGAUAAGAAGAAGGAAGAGGAGAAGGAGAAGAAGGAGAAGAAGAAGGAGAAGGAGCGGAGCUCCUUCUCCUUCUUCUUCUCCUUCUUCUCCUUCUCCUCUUCCUUCUCCUUCUCCUUCUUCUCCUUCUCCUCUUCCUUCUCCUUCUCCUCCUCCUCCUCCUCCUCCUCCUUUUUCUUCUUCUUCUCCUCUUCCUUCUCCUUCUCCUCUUCCUUCUCCUUCUCCUCCUUCUCCUCCUCCUCCUCCUUCUUUUACUUCUUCUUCUCUUUCUCUUCUCCUAUAGUUAGCUAGGGUUCCACCUAAAUGACAUAAUUAGCUUAGUUAGCUCCUAAAUGGUCUAUACUUAGCUAAUUUCUCUCCGAAAUAACCUAUAUAUACACUACUUCAUCUAGUAUUAUUUUUCUAACUUUCUUAUUUGUCAUUUUGCAGAUUACCUUCACUUCACGGGAAGCUUGGUUGAUGGAAUGCUUGAAGAUGAUUUCUUGNNNNNNNNNNNNNNNNNNNNNNNNNNNNNNNNNNNNNNNNNNNNNNNNNNNNNNNNNNNNNNNNNNNNNNNNNNNNNNNNNNNNNNNNNNNNNNNNNNNNUGGCCGGCUGGGCCAACUUGGCCCAGUUGGGCGRGGGGUUUAGUUUUUUUUUUAAUUCUUUCUUAAUUUUUUUUCUUUUUUUAUACAUACAGCUCCUGUUUUAAUUAUAUAGGGAUUAUAGUAACUUCAAAAUGCCCAAUUGACUUUUAUAACUUAUUUAGGAAAGUUUUAAUAACUUUCCCGACAAUUUUUAUUUCAAACAUUAUAAAACUUUUCCCGUUUGAUUUAUUUUCAAACUUCAAACUUCGACUCGGUUUCGACUAUCACGAGAUCAACAAUAGAAUUAUAGUGACGUGGCAUCCUUUGCAUAGGUUUAUUGUAGUUCAAGUACCGAGAUUAUUGUAGUCUAAUCCGGGGAUGUCACAAGUCUCCCCUACUAACAAGAAUUCUCGUCCCAAGAAUUAAGAGGUAGAAGGAAAUAGCUCGGGGUAUUCAUCAUGAAGAUGAUCCUCGUGUUGCCAAGUGGUAUCAUCUUUAGAAUGAUUUGACGACUGCACUUUAAGGAACUUGGUGACUUCGCGACGAGUCUGACGUUCAGCCUGGUCGAGAAUGCGGACCGGAUGCUCUUUAUAGGAGAGGGUUUGUUGCAGCUCAAGCAUAUCAUGAUCCACUGCACGAAUAGGAUCCUUGAAGAAGUGGCGGAGCUGAGAAACAUGGAAGACAUUGUGAACCUAAGAAAGGUUCGCCGACAGUUCCAAUUGAUAAGCCACUCUUCCACGCCUUUCGAGAACAGUGAAAGGACCAAUAUAGCGAGGAGCUAACUUGCCGUUGAUCUCGAAACGAUGUGUACCUCUUAUUGAUGUGACUCGAAGAUCAGCCUUUUCGCCAGGUUGAUAGACCAUAUCUUGAUGAUGAUGGUCAUACUGACUCUUUUGACGAGACUGAGCAGCCUUCAGAUUGUCGUAAUUAAUGCGGACUUUAUCAUUAGCAUGUUGGAUAACAUCUGGACCAAAGAGUGAUCAAUCCAUUGAACGGUGGCUCGAGAAUUCCAUAUGAGCCAAGUGCAAAGGAUACUUUGGAGUCAAAGAUGUUCAGGGGAGUCAGGUUUCAAUCCUGUGGAACUUUGGGUUAUGGGUCCACCAUGUGGGCUGAGAGUAGGCAGAGGGGUGAUAUACUAUACGGUCUUGGUAGCAAGACAUGUCAGAGGAUAGCCUGUCAGUUAUGUUGGAACAACAGCGAUACCAAGGGCAGGGAACGAAUAUAACCAUUUUCCUGCUCGUUGAAACGAGGCAGACCAAUAGGCAAGGUUCUCGUCCACCAGCGGUUACCGGAAUGUUAUCCACAAUACUAACGGGGUCUGACCAACAGAGUUGUAUACCGAGAUUUUUACCUAAGCAGGGAAUUAACACUGCUUAGAUAAUUAUGCCACAAGAAAGGUCCAACAGACCAAAGAGAAUGAGAAUGUGUGCACACACACAAGAAUUUAAAGUAUACCAUUCCUGAGGAGAACAUAGAGUAUGGUAGACAAAGAGAAUCACGAUGUUUACCCAUACCAUGCGGUUUGGAUAAUUGAUGAGGGACAAUCUAGCAUUGCGCUUCCAAUGUUCCUGUUGACAUUUGAAGUACCACAUCCGUGCUUCGGGGUAGCAUCGACAUGGUCAUCCGAUAAAGGUCGGACCAAUGGGCACACAAAGAGGAUUCAUGAGGAACAACUUAUGAAAUAAGUCAUAUAUUCUCCGCAUAGUAGAAUGGCUAACCUUACGGAUGGAAGAAUUUAUAACGAUAGGUCCUUCGGCCCGGUGUGCCACACAAGACAUCACCGUACCGGGUAACGUAAGACCAAAGUUAUAAUUAUUGGGAAAAUGUUCCAACCAUCAUAUCUGCCCGAGAUUCAAAUCUGAUUGGUGUCAGGACACCUCAGACUCAAGAUGCCUGAGAAGAAAUAUGAAGAUACAAGAUUCUCAUGAUAUGAACUAGACAAGCAAUUCUUGAAUCAUGAGUUCGAUUGAAAGACAUAUGAACACAAUGUCAAGACAUUCGUGCCCACGUGGAAUUCUUACAACACAAUGCAACUGAGUUCUGAUUUGAGAACCAUCAUCGAGGAUAACAAGGCCCUUGCGUAAGCCUCGAUUAGCUCUUAUGACGGAACUUCCUUUCCGUUGAUCAAAUCAUUUAGUGGCUUGGCGUGCUAAGAGAAGUUAUAUGAAGUGAAGAUAACAAAUCUUCAAAACAUAAAACACUUCACACAUGCGUGAAUGAUUUGGUAUUUCCCGAGAGGAAGCGAAACAAAACUUUCACAUAUUCACGGCGGAAAGACUGCACGUGAACCUUGGGAAAACACACUUCUUCUAUCAAACAUAUCCUUCACAAGCUAGGCACAAAGAUAAAGCAUUCAAGGGCUUCAUCAUGAACCAUGAAUAUGUUGAGGGUGUUGUCGAUGAGCUCAGCAUCAAUCCUUCAAGAUUUUGACAGGCAUGAAUUUCCAAAAUUAUAAUAUCAAGGAGAUAGCAUUUGUAAAAUCAAAUGGUAUAAUUUCGUAUGCUCGAGGGAACAACAACAAUUAGACAUUGGUCGAAGGGUGCAGUCGGAAAUACGGACGGAGUAGCACAAGCAAUGUCAAAAAUGAUGAGUUAACACCCCACUCACUAAGAAUGAAACAAUCAAUUGUUAACCUCAAGUCAACAGGGAUGCCAAAAGUAUUGGAAUCACACAUCAGAGUUCACUUGUUGGUAUUCUGGUUUGAAACAACACGGGACCAUGUAAUGAAUGGUGAUGUCGAGAAGUAUCACUAUAUCAAGAAUUCUUAAGAGGUGCAAUGAUGCUGACAACAUUCUUGACAGAAAAGAUAGUAAUACUCCAAGGUAGAAGAUAACAUAAGCUGAAUAGCAAGGAACUUAAGGGACAACACAAAACAUGAACACGUUUGUGUUGGAGGGAAGGUAAACAAUGAUGUCAAUGAUAAUACAAACCAUCGAGGGGCAAGGAUGGCAUUUAUCAUCAUGCAUUCGAUUGAUACCCAGCAAGACCUCAGAAUGAUGAUGAUGAUCACGACACAUUUGUCGAGAAAGUUUUCAUGAAGAUGUAAUUGUUCACCGAUGAAACCAAGCAAGGGAAUGGUGAAGCAAGAGGUUGUCGGAAUCACACAUAAGACUGCUAACUUAGAAUUGAGAUCGCCCUUUAAGACAACCAACAUGUUGUCGAAAGGUUGAUGUAAGCUUAACAGCUUGGCAUGACAUGAUCGAGUACAAACUCGUUAACAAGGAAGAUUGCUAAAAGUUGUUGAAUCACAAUGCAUACUCGAUUCAGUUAUCGAUGUACUCGCGUGUCCAACAACUCAAACACGAGGCAACUGGAAUUAAGGAAAAUAUCAUAGUUGAUGAGGAGCUCACAAGAAGUUUCAUAGCUCCACGAUAUCCUCGAGCUACAAGGAAUAAUACUCGAAGGUAGAUCAACUUUAAGGUUUGGACCGGUGUGUUGAUCUGAAGAAGACAAGUACUUUAACUCGUCUGAGAAUGAAAUCAAGGUAGGACAACAUGGUCGGAACCAUGAUUGCAAAGGACAAGAUCACCAAUACUAGAUUUAAACCACAUAAUGAACGAUUAUUGAUACGAGAAGUUUCUAUGAUAGGAUCAACGUCGUUUCCAUGGGCAUGAACACAAAGUUCAAGGUCGACUCCCACUUCAUCAAUGCAUCACCUGCCAUUUACUCCUCGUCUCUGAUCAGGUUGUAGCUUUGAAAGAAUAUCCGACAAAACACCAGAAGAGCAAGAAUCGUGAAAACUCUUCGAGCCAUAUUGAUUUAGGAAGGUAUAGGUUCAACCCGUCGGGGCAUCUUAGGAACAUAUACCAUACAUUCCAAGAGCAAUUAACACAUGCUUGAAGGGCAUGGAUGACAAAAGCGUAGGGUACAACUCAUCAGAGGGAGAAGACACAAUUUACUAAUGGCAUUAUGUAUCAAGGGAAAAAUAUGACAAGAAUUUUUUGAAUGUAAAGGAUGUCGUCGGAUAAUAACCGAGCAAUGGGUCUCACAAUCCACAAAGGACCUCAUGUGAGUGUCAGUACUCAAUCAGAGGGAGAUGGGAUGCAAUGCAUCAGGUUAUAGAACAUCUGAAAAAUAUUGAUACUUCAUUACCGAAGGAAUUAGGAUUUCCAGGUUUGUGUAUCAUAAUCAGAUGCUCCGAUCAAAUACAAGUAAGCUAAAUGGAUUUAGAUGGACAACUACCACCGUUGAUUUGUCCAGAACCAGCUCUGUCUGGAAGGACGUCUGAGCUGGAAGAUAAUUUAUGAAUAUCAACAGAUGAUUAUGCAUAUUCACACAAAGGUAGAAUCAAUAAGAUCACAAGAAAUUCACAAAGGAAUUUAAUGAAUGCGGCUAGACAUAUGGAUUUAACCAUAACACAAGCAGGUGAAAAAGGUCAAAAGCCAUAGGUUACUGGGGAUUCUGAAAGAUCGAAUAGUAAUUAAAAGAACUUUCGAAACCCAUGACAACUGACGACGGACGAAUCCUCGAUAAGAUAAUUUGUUGCAUCUCGUAAAAACAAGAGCAUUUGGGAAGAAAAUAUGAAUGCCAUUUGUAUGUAGUCAUCCAUAAGGGUUGAAGGAGGAAGGGAAGUCGCAAGAGCGAUGGGCACAAGUUCUCAAGAGAAACAUCGGAGAGUACUAUCAAAGUCUUCUGACGGAUUAAGCCAUCGUCUGGAAUUACGAGGCUCUCCGGGAGGAAAUAUUUACGGGAACCUAAUGUUAGAGUUAGUAAAAUCUUUAACCCGAAAGAGAAGAGAGAGUAGAGCCCAGAGUAUAGGAAAGGAGUAAAAGAUACUAAUACCACCCAACUGAGACGUGGGCCCGUAAGCCACAACAUCAGUGUUAGUAAAGUUUUUCAAACACUAGACUCAACUUCGGCCAAGGAGUUGGAAGGGGGCUACCUACAGGCAGUCGGCUCUGAUACCAACUUGUGAUGCCCUCGAUUUAAUCGUACGCUAAUCAUACACGCAAAUGCGUACGAUCAAACCCAAGGACUCAUGGGAAGAUAUCACAAGACAACUCUAGACACAAAUAAAAUAAUACAAGCUUCAUAUUACAAGAAAAUGGCCUCGAGGGCUAGAAUACAGAAGCUCGAUAAAAAACACGAGUCAGCGGAAGCAACAAUAUCUGAGUACAGACAUAAACCAUGGGAUGACUUAGAGAAGGCUAGCACAAAAGAUACAACUAUCGAACGAGGCGAGGCCUCCUGCCUGGGAAGCUCCUAACUAGUCCUAUUCUUCAGCGGCCUCCAUGAAGAAGUCACCAACGGGGUGGCAGGCGUCGGCAGGAAACUCCAUCUCCUGGGCUCCAUCGUCUGGACGCAGCAACGGAUCAAAGGGACGAAGGGGGAGCAAAGCAACGGUGAGUACUCAUCCAAAGUACUCGCAAGACUUACAUCAGGACUAUGCUAAGUAUGCAUCAGUAUCAAAGAAGGGAUUUGGUUAUAUGUGGACUGACGGCAGCAAUGCAAGAAUAGAGAGAGAAGGCCUAGUCCUAUCAAAGACUAGCAUCUGUAGGGUCUUGCAGCAAUAGACGAGAAUAGAGCAAGGGAACACAAAUAUUAGUCAUAUUGUUGCAGCAAUAUUAAAGUGAGGUCACAUCCAGAGAUCCUCCCUCGACUCCCUGCGAGGAAGCAAUCCCGAGGCUACUAAUUCCAGUUAAGUAACAAUUGUAGUUGUAUAAGAUCAGGGCACAACUCCAAGUCGUCCUGUAACUGUGGACACAACUAUUCGAAUAGUUAAUUUUCAUCCCUGCAGGGGUGCACCACAUGUCCCGACGCGCUCGAUAACACUCUGGCCGGACACACUUUUCUGGGUCCUGCCCGGCCUAGGAAUAUCGACACGUCGCAGCCCCACCUAAGCUCAGCAGAGAGGACAACCCGCCGAUCGAAAUCCUAAGCGCAAAGGGUUGAUGGGCCCAAUUUGCCUCCGUGCUCCUGCAUGAUGCGAGGGCGGCCGACCUCAGUCCUAGCACCCCUUAAUCACAAGCGCGAUGCAUCUCAGGACCAGUCAGGCGCAUGCCGCUACAUCGCGGACGUCUGAAGAGCUUCGGCUGAUACCGCGACGUCGAGUACCCAUAAUUAUUCCCACGCAGAUGGUUAAUGAGAAAAGGUCUCCGACCAACCCAGAUCAAAUACCCAAAUCCAUUAUCAUUUUAAUUAGGCCAUCAACACAGUCUCGGGGGAAUCCACCCGUCUUAACAACUAAUCACCAAUGAUCCCAGUAACAUGGUCGAGUAACUAUGUGGUUGUAACAUCGGGGGGAAUCCGAGGUAUCACCCUCCUUGGAUUCCGAAAGAUGUAUCCAUCAAGGUGGGCUUAGAGGAAUCACCCUCGGGGGUCCCACACUUGAGGGGUUGCACGACAGAGGCUUCACCGGGAAUGGUGAAAGAGGAAUCACCCUCGAUAACCACGACCGACUAGCUGUACUAUAGAGAUAUCAUCAGGAGUACUUAGCAAGGUGUCACCCUCGGUACCCGAUAGUAUCUCUGUAGCUCGUACAACUAAGGGGGUGUAUGUGCUGUGUCGGGUCUGGCUCGUCGAUCAUGGAUCGAGAUUUGAAAAACAAGCGGGGCAACUGGACAACGGGGUCAGAGGGGAUGACUGUUCCACCUAUACUAAGCAGAUUAAAGGUACAGAACUGAGAGUAGUAGUUCAUAAAAAAUAGGCUAUGCAUCAGAUAUAGGGUCUAACUACAAUAGUAGCAAAAUACUAAUGCAAGCAGUAGGAAGAAAGACAUAGGCGAUAUAGGAAUGAUCAAGGGGGGUUUGCUUGCCUUGCUACUUUGCGGCAAAGGACUGAUCGACAGGGUCGUAGAUGUACCCGGCAGCAACGUCAGUCUCGGGGUCUAUCGGUAAGAAGAGGGGGAAGAAACAAUAAAUAAUAGCAAUGGUGCAACACAAUGCAUGACAUGGCAAGAUGCAGGCUAGACAUUAGCUAACACAGCAACCUCCGUCAUAGACGGGUCGGAAGAAUAUCUGACGAUAUUUUUCGGGUUUCGGUCUACUAGCGGUCAGAGUGGAAAUGAUGGAAAUGUUCCACGUUUGCUAUGCUAGAGACGCAUGACAAACGAAUGGACCGUGUAUGCGGGUUCGACUCGUUCUGCUGAUCAACUUUCAUGUUGAAAAUAAUUUGAUCUGACUUACGGAUUAUUUUUUAUUAAUUUUUAAAGUGUUAUUAAAUAUUUAGAAAUUAAAAACAUAUUUAAUAAAAAAGCAUGAUGUCACGCUGACAUCAACAGUUGACUCGUCAAUUGACGAGUGGGUCCCCUGCAUCAUAGACAUGAGUUUUUAAUUAAGAUUAAAUAGUAAUUAAUCAGAUUAAUUUAGUGGGGGACCCACAUGUCAUACUCUGAUUAUUCUAAUUACCUAUUUAAUUAAUUAACUAAUUAAUUAAUAUAUCUAUUUAUUUAUUUAAUAAAAACAUAUUUUUAUUUUUAUUUUUUAAUUUUCACUUUUCUCAAAAGCGGGUGUGGGGCUUCCCUGUCAUAGACAGCGGGGUGAGUUGGCCCCACCGGUGAGUGGCUUAGGCCACAUACACACAAAACAACCAUAAACAUAUUUAUACAAUCAACGUAUUUCUCCACAUACCUACAUACAUAAAUACAUACAUACGUGCAUCUCAUACAUACAAAAUACGUACGGCAUCUAAUACAUACAUACAUACGUCUUUUUAUUUAUUUUUCUUUUUCUCAUCUCAUCUCCUAACUCUCUUUGUUAACAACAGAGAGAGAGGUACAUCUCCCUCUACCCCCUACUCGAUCCUAACGACGUCGGAACAGAGUGCCGUUUGCCAGAAUGGAACCAGGACGGCGCGAGGAAGGAGACGGUGGGAGGAGCCCGAACAGGGGCUCACCGACAUUGACGAGAGGGCCCGGUGAAGCCGGAAUUCUCGGGAGGCGGAGGAGACUUCGAGGAGGAGGACGAGGCGGUGACGGUGGUGGGGCGGUUCCGGUGAGGAUGGUGCCCGCGAGGGUCGCCGGAGGCCACGCCCGGUGGAGGUGAGGCACGGCCGCCGGAUCCGGUCCGGAGGAGGGUCGGCGCCCGGAUGGGGCCGCCGGGGGAGCUCCCGCCGGCGCGGGGCGGUGCUCGGUCGGGGAGGUGGAGGGGGAGGGCCCGGCGAAAUGGGGGUUCAGGGGCGCGCGGUGGGGCGGUGCUGGGUGGGGUCCGCCGGCAGGAGGGAGCACAGGGGAGGCCUCAGCAGGAUCGAGGUGGGAGGCUCGAUGGGGUUCCUGGGGCUGGUCGGUGGGGUGUGGUAAGUGGAGGAAACCUCGAGAGGGAGAGGGUCUUGGUGGGGAGGGGUUGUCGGUGGCGGGGGGGGGGGGUGGAGUGGGUGGUAGGUGGGGGUGUACCGAGAGGGGAGGAGGUCCUCACGGUGGGUGGGGAGAGCGAGGCCAUGGCGAGCAGGGGGCUCGGGUCUCGGGUGGGAGGUGACAGGGCACGUGGGAUGGUGCGGGAGGGUUGGUGGGAGGGCGGUUGGUGAGUGCGGUAGCGGGGGAAGGUGGCGGCGGCCUCGUGGGGAGAGGGGUCGGGCGACUAGGGUUUCCUGGGGGUUGGGAGAGCUGGUUAGGGGGGGGGGCUGGCCGGCUGGGCCAACUUGGCCCACUUGGGCCGGGGGGUUUAGUCUUUCUCUUUUUUUAAUUUCUUUUUUUUAAUUUUAUUCCUUUUUACACAUAUAGCUCCUGUUUUAAUUAUAUAGGGAUUGUAGUAACUUCAAGAUGCCCGAUUGACUUUUAUAACUUAUUUAGGAAAGUUUUAAUAACUUUUCUGACAAUUUUUAUUUCAAACAUUAUAAAACUUUUCCCGUUUGAUUUAUUUUCAAACUUCGAACUUCGACUCGGUUUCGACUAUCACGAGAUCAACAAUAGAAUCACAGUGACAUGGCAUCCUUUGCAUAGGUUUACUCUAGUUCAAGUAUCGAGAUUACUGUAGUCUAAUCCGGGGAUGUCACACUUUUCAACGAUGUGUUCUUCUGAGUGGGCCUAUAACCCACAUGAUCUUUCCUAGGAUCUUUCCUGGCUCUUCUAAUCUUUUCUCGGAGAUCUCUAAUCCUUUUAAAUUAUGACAUAAGUAUGCAUUCCAUCAGUCAUAUUCCUUCUCCAAGAUUGCUUCAAAUUAAUUCUCAUCUUUGGCUCAAGGUUUCAAUCUUCAUUAUUCCGGAGUGUUUCCGUUAUUCUUGGUGGUGUCCCUUCUCAUCAUUCUCGGCUUGGAAGACCGAAGGAGUGUUUCUCUCAAAUCUUGGUCCAUUCUCUUGAAGAUUCAUCAUUUAACCUUUGUGUUAUCAUCUUGAAUUGUUUACAAUCAUUAGUAAUUCCUUCCAUAUCUAUCUGGUGCAUUUCAGAUUUGUUUUUAUUCUUGAUCCUCCGAAGGCCAUCAUUUCAGAAGAUUUAUUCGUUCUCAGCUUUCAGCUUUCAUUCUCAAAUUCUUCUGAAUUGUUGUCUCUUCGUUCUCUCAAUUAUUUCGGUGCCUUGUUCAAUUUUCUAUUAGGCGGCUCAAGAUCUCUUCAUUCUCAAGGUGUUCUUCAAGAUUCUUGUGGUAGUAGUUCUCAUUUUCUUCUUCGUUCCUUCUUGCCUAGAGCUAGUUUCUAUUCUUUCUAACAGAGGCUUUGUGAUGUUGCUCUCUUCAACCUACCAUUUUGUCUUUUCUAGAUCAUAUUGUUCCCUUGUUCAAUUUAGUUAGUUUGUUGUGGAUCUUUAAGAUCUUUCCAUUGUAUCAAAUUUUGCCCCCUUUUCCUACCGAAUUGGUGUGGAAAUUCAGAUUGAAUUCUUGCUUGUUUCUCAUAUCAUUCUCAUCUCUUUGCAACCUCCAAGAGUCAUUGGUUUUGCUCGUUUGUCAAAGAAGUAACUAAGUUUUACCUCUUCCUCGUUCUGAUCUUCUCCCCCUUUCAUUCUUGGAUCUUGGGUCGAGAUCCUCUUGUAGUGUAGGAGAGUUGUGACAGCCCGAGACCGACAUUCCAAAAGAUUCCCCCUUUUAUUCCGUUCUUGUUGUGUGGUUCGUUUGUCUGUCGGAUUCAUCAUCGCAUCAUCCACAUUGCAUCGGCACCGCGUUGCCGCCAGUUUUGAAACAUGCGUCCGUUAUUAGUUGCCGGUUCUUUCCGUUUUCGUCACCGACCGUUUUGAUAUAGAUAAAAUGUUGUUUUAAUAUAGGUAGAUAUUAAAACGUUGAUAAAAUGGUGUUUUUAAAAGUGUUAGAAAAAUAAUCUCGGAUUGAGUCGAAACUUGGCGUGCAGUCUUAUUUUAAUAUAGGUAGGCCGCCUGCUAAACUGAGUCGCAAUCGGAGUCCGUUUGAUACCCGAACGGUCAACCAUAGCGGCACCGUCUUCGGUUUAUUGUCGGACGUUUUCAAGGUUUUAAAUAUCAUUGUUGGGUCGCCCGUUUUCCCUCUCUUCCCCACCUAGCCACUCUACACAGCGACCAAGCCCCUACCCGCAACCAGGAUCGUUCGAUUUCCAUCCUACGCCCGAAAUUGGUGCGAGAUUCCGCAAACCCUAGCCCCUUCCUACAAAUAGAUGCCCCUAACCUUCCCCUAACGGAAACCCUAGCCCCUACCUCGGGAUCCAUGCCACCCAGCCGCCACAGCCACCCUCCUUCUUCUCUCCUCCAGCCACCGGCCCGCGGAGCCCGGGUUGGGACCGCCCGAGCCCAUCUCGGCCCGGAUCGCGCCGCUGUCGCCCCGUUCUGCCCCAAGCUCCGGCUCCUCCCGAUCUCCUCCCGUUCCUGGUCGCAGCCGCCCUCUCCCUGCAGGAGCCCCUCGCCGCCGCGCACCUGGGCGUCGGAGUGACGCCCUCCGGAGAACCAGCCCAGCCCAGUGCCGCACCUCUCUUCCCCUCGCCGUUUUUCUUCCGGCCUCAUGCCCAAGCCUUCUCUCUCGCUAUUGGAUGCAGGUCGCCAGAGCCCCGCCGUCGUGCUUCCGUUGCCGGUAAUGGAGCCGGCCGCCCCAGAUCCGCCCAUCCCGAGCACCGACCCACCCUCGGCGGCUACUACCGGCGGCCUCGAGCGCGAGAUCUGCUCCGCCGCCGCCUCCUCUGUGCGGGAGGAGCACAAGAGGCGCCUCCAGCGCUUUCCCCCACGUAGCCCAACAAUGCCUCCCUCCGCCACGCCCAACUCCGCCGCCCUUUGGCCCAAGGCCCAGCCGGGACGUCGGCGUGCCUCCUCCCCCGAGCCGGCCCAAGUGGUCCGGUGAGUCCGGUUAUCCCUCUCCCCCAUUGCAAAAUUGAUAUCCCGCGCCAUGCCCAGUUUUAGCCCGUUUGCACAGAUUCCGCCUCUUAGUUUUUUUAGGUUUUGCAAUUUAGUAUUUCAGAAAAAGCUAGAUAUUAAAACGACCGUAACUUUUAAUCCGUGUGUCGGUUUGCGACAAGUUAUAUAUGGAACUGGUGUAGUUUUUCUCGUAGAACAUUAUUUUGCAACUUGCAUGCAUAUUUGAAGUAGUUUGAACCACCAUUUGCUUAGAUUUGCAUGCUGUCCUAAUAGGUUAACUGUUGCGUAGAUGUUUUUGUGCGCGUCCGGUUUGUUCAAAUCCUGGAGAUAAAUUUUUCACAAUGUUCGUGACCCUUUGCCUUGUAUUUUAGAGUACUUACUUGCAUUUUUUUGCAUGUAAGAGCUGUCAAUAGUUUACUAUGUCGUGUUUAGGACAUAUUCUCGCAUAUAUGUGUGGCGUUAGUUUUAUUUUGCAAUCCCACAUAUUAUAUAUGUUUUCGGGGUAGAAAAAUCCAUAGAAUUUAACUGUCCAUUUAGUUUUGCCUUUCGAGUAAGUUAGCUUGCAUGAUAUUUUGCCAUGUGCCCUCUUGUUUAUUUUGUGGGAUUUAUUCCGUGCGUGAUAUGCAUGAGUUGUGAACUAGAGAUAUGCUCUUGGACAUGUAGACUAGCCCCUGGUAAUUUUGGUUGCUAUAGAAAUCCAUGUUUAGGUGUUGUUUGCUUGUUGCCAACAUGCUAGAAAAUAGUGCUGAUUUGGAGAUGCUGAAAUAUUUCCAAGUGUGACAUUUGUAAUAUUAUGUUGUUGUCUUGCCAUGAGUUUUGCUAGUGAUCUACAACUCCUUUGAGGUUAGUGCAAUGGAGUUAAUUGUAUUCCUUAAGAUUAUCUAGCAUGCUGUAAAAUUUCAUGCCAUGCGGUGCCCCGUAGCAUAAAGUUUUGCUGUUGUCAAAUGCCUUUUGGUUGGAAACUGCUCUGUCAAAGCUGUCAUUUUCACUAAGUGUGAAACUAUGUGUGAGAUUCCAUUUUGCGAUUUCUUUUCCUAGUGAUCCAUGCUUCCAUGCUAUAUGUUAUUAGUAGGAUGUUGUAGUGCAUCUUGACCACUACUGCCUCAUGUCUUGUUUGAGCAUUUUAGAAUUAUGUAGCUUGUUUUUUUGGGGUGUAGAAAAUGUCAUGUUGCUAUUUUUGGACAGUUUGUAGAAACCUUCUUGGAAUCUCGUUUAGGUUCAUAUUAUGUUGCUGCCUUCUUGGUUAGGAAUGCUUGUGACUAUCAUUGCAUACAUAUUGCAUACAUGGCAUCAUAUCUUGCGGUGAUCAUUUCUUAUGAACCGUAGCUCUGUUUCCAAUGAUCUCUAUGUGUAAAUUGAUUGGAACGAUGCGUAGAAUCACGUGAACCACUUUAUUUUGCUGUUUAACAAAUAUUAAAACGUGUUAGUUCAGAUCUGGACAGCAUUAUAAAUUAACGUAUGGGGUCAGUUCGAAGAUGGUAUAAGUCGUUUCUGACAUCAUUUAAAAUGCCUAGAUAGGUAGCUUAAUUACGCUUCACCUCUUGCCAUGUUUAACCAACAUUUAAUAUGGCCGUCAAAAUAAAUGGGAGUGAACUAAAUAAUUAAAUGUGGAGUUUCAUCAAUAUGCAACUCGUUGCACAUUGAACUUCACUUAAUGUGUAGUGUUUGAUUGUGUGAAUUGCCAUGUCAUUCCGUGCAUAAUUGAUACCGUUCAUGCAUCAUAUGUGUUGUGCAUCGUGUGGUGAAAAUCGUGUGUUGAUUCUUGUUUCCGGUUUGCUUUGUCUUGAUAGAGUUCCGCAAGCGUGUCAGAAUGUGAGGACCCGUUCGACUACAUCGGUUCAUCUGCUUCACGGAGUCAUUCUUCUUCCAAGCAGGAUCUCAGGCAAUAUGAUCAUUUCCCUACAUACCAUUACUAUCAUUGCCAUACUAGUGUUCAUGCAACCUUCAACCUUCUACAACCUAGCAAACCACUGAUUGGCUAUGUUACCGCUUGCUUAACCAUGUGUUAGCGUUGCUAGUUACAGGUGUAGUUGCUUCCAUGUGAUAACAUGGGUUCCUUGUUAUAUCACCAUAUUAAUGCUAUUUAAAUUAAUGCACCUAUAUACUUGGUAAAAGGUGGAAGGCUUGACCUUUCUAGCAUGCUGUUUUUUCCACCUUGCCGCCUUAGUUUCGGCUACCCGUGUUAUAUUCCAUAAUUGAGCGCUCCUAACACGAUCGGGGUUGUUAUGGGGACCGCCUUGAUAUUCAUCUUAGAUUAAAACUGGUGUGGCAAGGCCCAACUUUUAUUCUACAUUUGCCUAAUGACUAAUAAAUAGCAUAUGGACCCACUGGCACAUGCGGAUAAUUAAUCAACCCCCUCGUUAGUGCUCCGCAUGAGUGUUGGUCCAUUCACCUAGCAGUCAGCGGUGCCACCUCGGGGCAACUCGAGCGUUUGGCUAUCGUCCACUAUGCAUAGACGGUUGUGUAGUGAGAAUGAGAUAGGCGGCUCCUAUCGGGUUCAUCGACACACCGGGUGGCCUUGCUAGGUUAGUUUUACCUUUGAUGAAUGUCUUGUGCAUCGGGAUUCCGGUGAUGCUUUGGUUAAUCUCAGAGUUGAGGUUUUCCACUAAGGAGUCCCACGAGAUCGGGAGUUUUGUGAUCGAGGAUUUCUAUGCGGCUUGUGGUAAAUUGUGAUGGACUAGUUGGAGCACCCGUGCAGGGUUAAAUCUUUUGGAAAGUCGUGCCCGCGGUUAUGUGGCAACGUGGAAACUUUGUUUAACAUCCGGUUCUAGGUAACUUGAAGUAAGCUUAAUUAAAAUAUGCCAACUGAGUGCGUUACAGAGUCUGUCUCUUUCGUGAGCUCCUUCUCCGAUCGAGGACACCGUGGGGUUAUGUGUGACGUAAGUAGGUGUUCAGGAUCAUUCAUUCGAUCAUCAGUACUUCACGUCCGCUAUGCAUAGAUCACCCCCUAUUUAUUUUUGUACUCGCAAGUUAGCCAAUAAAUGAAUGCUUAGUCGCUUGCUGCAGCCUCACCACUUAACCAUACCUCACCUAUUAAGCUUUGCUAGUCUUGAUACCUUUGGAAAUAAGAUUGCUGAGUCCCCUGUGGCUCACAGAUUACUACAACAUCACUUGCAGGUACAUGUAAAGUGAUAUUAAGACGAAAGCGCGAUGAUUGUUCAUUUGGAGUUUCUCUUUCUUCUUUAUCGAUCUAGGAUGGGUUCCAGGCCGGCAGCCUGGGAUAGCAAGGAUGGAUUCGUUCUUUUAUCGUUUUUUUCGUCCGUAGACGGACCCUGCUCUUCUACAUGAUGAUUGUAUGUAUUGUAUUGCUGUGACUCUGAUGUAGCUUGUGGCGAGUGUAAGCCAAUUCCAUAUACUCAUCUCUUCAAUACAUGUACUUGUAACGAUAUCCAUUCUUGCAAAACGACGAGAUGCGCUUCUAUUCCUGUCGAGGCCCACAUGCCAAAAUAAGGAUAGGAUUGCAUCUUGGGUGUUACACUACUGUUGGAGGUCGUACCCCUGCACUUGUACCUCUGCUCAUUGAUUCAAUGCGGUACGAGCACAUGAGUCGCCACGGGAUGCAGAAUCCCGCCCCUAGGUUCUCCUAUGAGGGUCACCGUCAGCUACUUGGAUUUAGUGUUUUCUCCAACGUUGAUGUAGCAUUAUUACUAUGUCUCGUUGUUGUAUCCCUCCACCGCGUGCCUGCGUGCCGCCUAGUGAGUCCAGUUUAUCGCCUAAUGUGUCCAUGUUAUCACCAAAUUUCAAAUUUGUAAUCAAUGGUGUGUAAUCGAACUUAUGUACGGGUACAUAUGUCGAACUUGACUACUAUAAAGUAUCUAUCGCAUUUCCUUUCGUCAUGCUUGAUUGCUUCAUGAAUGACUAAUAUGCCUUUGCAAUUACUUUAGGCUAAAGUACCCCUGUUAAAUUUUAGCAGGAUGGUUUGACCAGCUGGCCGCCCACGUGGCCAUUUAAACGAUCCACCACCCCUACCUCCUGAAUAUAUGGCUAGGAUGAUCCAACAGUUUGAACUGAACCGCCAGUUUAUGCAAGGGCUCAUGGAACAGUUUCAAAGGCCGAACAUGGAUUAGCAGCAAGGCGUGACCCUGCAAGACUUCUGCCACCUCAACCCUGAGAUCUACUUUAGCUCAACUCAGGCCCUUAAUGUUGAUGACUGCCUCCGUGACAUUGCUUAUGAACUAGAGUCUACCAAUGUGCCCCUGGUGAGCUAUGCCAACUUUGCAGCUUACUUUCUGAAGGGUCCCGCUGCUCAAUGGUGGGAUAGUCACAGGCGUUCUUAGCCCGCUGGAACUGUCAUCACUUAGACGGGGUUCAAGGCUGCCUACCGUGCGCGCUACAUUCCUCGGGAAAUCAUGGACCGUAAGAAGCGUGAGUUCCGCAACCUUGUCUAGGGCAACAAAACUAUGUAUGCUUAUCAGCGGGAGUUCCUGGACUUAUCCCGCUAUGCUGAAGAAGACAUUGCAACUGAUGCUUGCAAACAGGAGAAAUUACGUGACGGCCUCCACCCUGACACCAAGCUGGCGCUCCUUACUCAGGACUAUGCUGAUUUCGCCACCCUAGUGAACAAGGCCAUUUAGGUUGAGACUGGUCUGCAGGAUUACAAGGAUAGCAGCAAGCGCAAUCGUGACAUGGGCUCAUCUUCAGGCUCAUUUGCUCAGAAGAGGAAGAUCUAGAUUCCAGACAACAUGUACCAUGCACCUGCUCCUGCUCCAAGGCCAUCCUAUGCUGCACCUCAUCUGCCGCCUUCACCACCUAGGCAGCCGUGGCUUCCAGCUCCACCACCUCGAGUUCCUCUUUCCCGUCCUGAGGUCGAAUUGUUCUUCAAGUAUGGCCGUCUAGGUCACCGUACUAGAGACUGCAGGCAGAAUCCGAACCAGCUGGCACUUCCCUCAACUGGCAAUGGCAACAACCAUAACCGCAACAACAAUGCGAAGCCUGCUUAUGUUUGUGGUUAGGCCAACAACAUUGAGAUGGGUCAGGAUCAGGACCAGCCUGCUACCCUGAUGGGUACACUUCUCGUUAACUCAGUACCUGCUUCUGUACUGUUUGAUACUGGAGCAUCGCGUUCCUUUAUGUCAGAAAUUUUUUGCAUACAUGCAUGACAUUAGAAGCGAAGAUAUGAACCUUCCGAUAGUGGUAAACACCCCUGGGGGCCAAUGUCGAACCUCUGUGGUUUGCCCCAAUGUUCUUAUAGAAAUCGAAGGAUUGGAAUUCCUUGCAGCUCCCAUUUUACUGAAGUCUUCCAACAUUGACCUUAUACUGGGAAUGGGCUGGUUGAAGGCUCAUACGGCUUCAAUUGGUUGUGCCACCAAAACUAUCCACCUCCCACACCCUUCAAAUGAACUAAUAAGCUAUCAUGCUCAUCUCGUCCGAGAUGCUGAGGCACAUCUAUAUGCCUUGAAUGCAUUAAAUGCGUCGCCUCUUGAAGGGAUCGAAAACAUACCAAUUGUCCGGGAAUUCCAAGAUGUCUUUCGAGAAGAACUUCCAGGGAUCCCCCCUGCUCGAGCUGUCGAGUUUGUCGUCGACUUGGUACCCGGUACCACUCCUAUCGCCAAGCGUCCUUAUAAAAUGGCACUGCAUGAACUUCUUGAACUUAAGCAAUAAACUGACAAUUCGCUUCGUCUGGGUUUCAUUCGUCCGAGUUCCUCUGCUUGGGGAGCACCUUCUCUCUUUGUUAAGAAGAAGGAUGGAACAAAUCGUUUGGUUCAAGACUAACGUCCUAUCAAUCAGGCCACUAUUCAAAAAAAUAUCCUCUUCCUCGGAUAAAUGAUCUGUGUGAUCAACUUGAUAGUUCCUUAGUUUUCUCUAAGCUCGACUUGAGGUUGGGAGACUACUAGAUCCGUGUUCACAAAGAGGAUAUCCCAAAGACCGCCUUUGUUACUCGCUAUGGAUCAUACGAGUAAACCGUCAUGUCCUUCGGCUUAACCAAUGCACUGGCAACCUUCUCUCGGUUAAUGAAUUAUAUAUUUAUGGACUACUCGACAAAUUCGUCGUGGUAUAUCUGGAUGAUAUUCUGGUAUAUUCCAAGAAUAAAGAAGAGCAUGUCGAACAUCUUUGUCUUGUACUGGAUAAGCUUUAGGAGCAUAAACUCUAUGCGAAGUUUUCCAAAUGUAGGUUAUGGCUGGACGAAGUGACAUACCUUUGUCAUGUGAUCUCCAAAGAUGGUAUUGCGGUGAACCCCGAACGAGUCCAAGCUAUUCUUGACUGGACUCCGCGAAGAAUGUCAAGCAAGUUAGAAGUUUCCUCUGACUCGCCAGCUAUUCCCGUCGAUUCGUCGAGAAUUUCUCAAAGAUUGCAAAGCCCUUAACCAAUCUACUUCACAAAGGCGUUAAGUAUGAGUAGACUGAUCAAUGUCAGGAAAGUUUCCAGGAACUCAAGGGUAAACUAAAGUCCGCUCCGGUACAUGCUCCUCCGGAUACAAAAAGGGAUUUCAUCAUAUAUUGUGACGCUUCUCGUCAAGGAAUAGGUUGUAUCCUUAUGCAAGAUCGCAAAGUGAUUGCUUAUGCAUCACGUCAGCUGCGUCCUCAUGAAGACAACUAUCCAGUUCAUGAUCUCAAGCUUGUUGCGGUUGUACAUUCACUAAAAGAGUGGCGACAAUACCUUCUCGGUAAUCGCUGUGAGAUCUACACCGAUAAUCAAAGUCUGAAGUAUCUGUUCACUCAGCGGGAUCUGAAUAUACGUCAACAGAGAUGGAUGGAGCGUACAACAGAUUUUGACUCUGGUAUAUCGUAUACCCAGACAAGGCUAGCAUAAUGUCUAAUGCCUUGUGUGACAGCCCGAUGACAACGUUCCAGAAGAUUCCCCUUCUAUUCCGUUUUCGUCGCGUGUCUAUUUUGUUUUGUCGCAUCAUCAUUGCAUCAUGCGCGUGCUUAGCAUUGCAUAGGCAUCCCGUUGCCGCUAGUUUUCAAAACUUGCAUCCGUUGUUAGUUGCCGGUUCUCGUCGUUGUCCGGUUUGAGCCCGACCACACACGCACGCGCCCGCGGCAUCGUCAAAUCCCUUUUUUAAAAGUGUGCGUAAAACUUUCUCUGUUUGGGAUGGAAUUUGACGUGCGGUCUUAUUUUUAUAUAGGUAGGCCGCUUGUCGAAUUUUGUCUCGAUUGGAGUCCAUUUGGUACCCGAACGGUCGACCGUAGCGGCACCGUAUUCGGUAUAUCGUCGGACGUCUUUUGGUGUUUUAAUAAUCGUUGCCGCGCCACCUGUUUUCCCUCUCGUCUCCAGUUAUCUACACAACACGGCCACUUAGUCCGUCCCACGUUCGGAAUUAUUCGAAUCCGACCGCGCGGUUGAAACCAGGGCGGAAUUUCGCUAAACCUAGUCCCCUUUUGUCUAUAAAUAGGACCCCCAUGCAUUUUUAGCUGCCCCUCUCGUGUGCCUCGAAAACCGUGCAACCCCCGAAACCCUAGCCGCCACCCCACUCUCUCUCCUCGCUCCCGGCCCGCCCUGGACCGGAUCGGGCCCUCUCGGGCCCAUCUACGCGCCGCCGCCGAUCGGCCGAGCAGCAGCCCCACGCCCAACGGCUCCUCCCUGCCUCCCGUCGCCUGUGCAAGAGCCGGCCAGCCGCACCCCUCGCCCUGCCUCGCGCCGGCAGCUCCCCUCGCCGGAGUGCAGUCGCCGUCGCCCCGCCAAGGCCCCCGCAGCUCCUUUCCCCACCACGGGCCAUCAACCGCCGCCACUAUAGCCUCCCGCCCAGGUCCCCGCCGGUCUCCCGCCGUCGCCCCUUGGCCUCCCGAGCCGCACCGUCGUCGUCCGGCCCGGAUCCGGCAAGGACAGGCCAGAGCUACCAGUUCCCAUAGCCCCACCGGCCGGAGCUCGCCGGUUCCUUCUGGAGCAUGGCCGCCGCCUGGAAGACCCCAAUCCAGGUUGGAUCGUGAGGAGUCCCGCUCGCCUCCAGUGUGCGCUGCCGCGUGGGCCCGAGCUCCCCUCGGCCCACUAGCCCCGCAGCCGGCCUCCUCCCGCAGCGCUUCAGCGGCCCAAGCCCCCCGCCGACCUGGCCCAUGGCCAAGGUGAGUAUUCCCCGCCGUGGCGAGUUAUAUUAAAUUGUGCUGCCUCUUUUUAGGCCCGUAGGUGGAUUCGGCCCAAUAGGUUUUUAUUGGAGUUUUCGAAUUAGAUAGAUUUAAGGAAAUAUAGAUAUAUUAGAAUGCCCGUAUCUUUUAAUCCGUAAGUCGGAUCGCGACGUGUAGCAUAUGGAUUUUGUGUAGAAUCUGGCAUAGAAUACCAUUUUACAACUUGUAUAAUUGUUUGAGGUAGUUUGACGUGCCGAAUGCAUAGUUUUACGUGCUGUUCCAAUAGGUUUCGUCCCGUAUUAUUUUCUUGUGCGUGUCCGGAUUGCCCGAAUGCCGUAGUAGAUAUGUUCAUGUUCUAGGAACCCCUUUGCCAUGUAUUUCAGAGUAGUCGUUGGUAUUUUUGCGUGUAGGGAUUGACCGCUAGUUUAUUUUCCGUGUUUAGGAUAAUAUCUCGCAUUUACGUGUGGCUAUAUUUUUGUGUUGCAACCCCACAUGUUUUAUAUGUUUUCGGGGUAGAAAUUUAUAGGAUUUUUCUGUGCAUUUAGUUUUUAGCUUUUGAGCAAGUUAGUUCGCGUGAUAUUUUGCUAUGUUGCCCUCUUGUCUCUUUAGUGGGAUUUAAUCCGUGCUUCGUUUGAAGGAGUUUCCAACUAGAGAGUUGCCCUUUGAUGUUUAGUCUAGCCCCUGUUUUUUUUGGUUGCAAUAGAAAUCCAUGUUUAGGUGUGGUUUGAUUGCUCUCAAGUUGCUAGAAACAGUGUUGAUUUGGAGAUGCUGAAAUAUUUCUAAGUCUGAAUCUGUUAUAUUUUGUUGUUGUCUUUGCAUGAGUGUAUCUUGUGACCUGUAGCUCUUUUGAGGUUGGUGCAAUGGAAUUAGUUGUAGAGUUUGGAAUUCUCUAGCAUGCUAUGAAUUUUCAUGCCAUUUGGAUUCCUGUAGCUUAUGGUUUUGCUCCUGUCAAUAUGGCUUCAGAUCGAAAACUGCAGUUUCAUAAACUGUUAUUUUCGCUAAGUCUGAAACUGUGUGUGAGAAGCCAUUUUGAGACUUCUUUUCCUAGUGAUCCAUGCUCCCAUGCUAGUUGUUGUUGGUUGUAUGUUGUAGUGAUUCUUUCUCUCUUUCGUUUCAUGCCUUGGUUGAGUACAUUGGAGUUGAGUAGCUCGUAGUUGUGGGGUGUAGAAAAUGCUAUGUGGCUGAUUUUGGCAAAUUGUAGUGAUUUCUUGUUUGCUCGUAGUUGUUGAACCGUAGCUCCGUUUUGACCGUGUCCUAUAUAAAACUUGCUUAGAAUCUCGUGUAGUUUCAUUUUAUCUUGCUGGUUGUAUGUUUCGAAGUGCUCCUGACCGUCGUUGCACACAUUUAGCAUUCAUGCCAUCAUAUCUCGCGGUGCUCGUAUCUUUUGAACCGUAGCUCCGUUGGAGAUGUUCUCUAUGUGUAAAUUGCUUAUAACGUCGCGUAGAAUCAUGUGAACCUAUUUUUUUUUGCUGUUUAACAACUAAUUAAAUGUGUUAGUUCAGAUGUGGACAAAAUUGUAAAUUAACAUCUGAGGUCCUCUCGGAGGUGCUAUAUGUCAUUUCCGACCUCAUUUAAAAUGCCUAGAUAGGUAGAUUAAUUACGCUUCACCUCUUGCCAUGUUUAAUCACAUUUAAUAUUGUCGAGUACCUAAUCGGGAUAGAACUAAAUAACCCCUAUGUGGAGUUUCGUCAAUAUGCAACUCGUUGCAUAUUGAACUUCACUUAAGGUGUAGUGUUUGAUUGUGUGAAUUGUCAUGCCGUGUCUUGCAUGUGUUUAGCUGCUCAUGCAUCAUUUGUGUUUUGCACCGUGUGGUGUAUAUCUGUGUUGAUGCUUUUUUCCGGUUUGUUCCGUCUCGAUAGAGUUCCGCAAGCGUGUCGGCAAGUGAGGACCCGUUCGACUACUUCGGUUUGUCUCCUUCACAGAGUCAUUCUUCUUCCAAGCAGGAUCUCAGGCAAGAUGACCAUUUCCCUAGAUACCAUUACUAUCAUUGCCAUGCUAGUUAUUUCGAUGCUAUCGAUUAUGUCUCGUUGCCUACCACAUGUUAAAUAUCAGCCUCUCAACAAUGCCAUGAAAACCUUCAACCUGUUCAACCUAGCAAACCACUGAUUGGCUAUGUUAUCGCUUGCUUAACCAUGUAUUAGCGUUGCUAGUUCCAGGUGCAGUUGCUUCCAUGUGAUAUCAUGGGUUCCUUGUUAUAUCACCCUAUUAAAUGCUAUUUAAUUUAAUGCACCUAUACACUUGGUAAAAGGUGGAAGGCUCGACCUUUCUAGCCUGGUGUUUUGUUCCACCUUUGCCCCCUUAGUUUCGGCUACCGGUGUUAUGUUCCAUAAUUGAGCGCUCCUAGCACGAUCGGGGUUGUUAUGGGGACCCCCUUGAUAAUUCGUUUUAGAUUAAAGCUGGUCUGGCAAGGCCCAACAUUGGUUCUAUAUUUCCCAAUAUAAUAAAUUUUAUAAUUCUGAAAUGCAUAGGGAGUUAGCGCUACCUGAGGAGUAAUUCAACAUAAUAUAGGGGGGGCCAGUGCUGAUGGUGUUGGUCCGAAAAGGGCAGCCUGCGGGGCCACCACGGGGCAACUCGAGGUUUGGCACCUGUAGCCUUUCCCAUCCGGUCGUGUCCUGAGAACGAGAUACGCGGCUCCUAUCGGGUUCGUCAACAUGUCGGGCGGCCUUGCCGGAUUAGUUUUACCUUUGACGGAAUAUCUUAUGCAUCGGGAUUCCGGUGAUGCUUUGGGUAAUCUCAGAGUUGAGGUUUUCCACUAAGGAGUCCAAUGAGAUCGCGAGUGUUGUGAUCGAGGAUUUCUAUGCGGCUUGUGGUAAUUUGUGAUGGACUAGUUGGAGCACCUCUGCAGUGUUAAAUCUUUCGGAAAGCCGUGCCCAAGGUUAUGUGGCAAUGUGGAAACUUUGUUUAACACUGGUUCUAGAUAACUUGAAGAUAACUUAAUUAAAAUAUGCCAACUGUGUGCGUAACCGUGACUAUCUCUUUCGUGAGUUCCUUCUCCGAUCGAGGACACGGUGGGGUUAUGUCUGACGUAAGUAGGUGUUCAGGAUCAUUCAUUUGAUCAUCACUAGUUCAGGACCGUUAUGCGUAGUUCUUCCCCCUCUUAUUUCUUGUACUCGUAAGUUAGCCACCUCAUAUAAUGCUUAGGCGCCUACUGCAGCCUCACCACUUAAGCAUAUCUCACCCAUUAAGCUUUGCUAGUCUCCAUACCUUUGGAAAUGAGAUUGCUGAGUCCCCUGUGGCUCACAGAUUACUACAACACCAGUUGCAGGUACAUGUAAAGGUUAUUUGACGCGAGCGCGUUGAUUGUUCAUUUGGAGUUGCUUCUUCUUCUUCUACUUCAUCGAUCUAGGAUGGGUUCCAGGCCGGCAGCCUGGGAUAGAAAGGAUGGACGUCCUUCUUCUUUUCUCGUUUGUUUUCGUUCGUAGUCGGACCCUGCUCUUCUUCAUGAUGAUUAUCUAUUGUACUGUUGUGACUCUGAUGUAGCUUGUGGUGAGUGUAAGCCAGUUCUAUAUAUAUAUCUCUUCUUUUCAGUACAUGUACUUGUAUCGAUAUCCAUUCUUGCAACACGACGAGAUGUGCUUCUAUCCCUGACGAGGCCCUCGUGCCAAAUUGAGGAUAGGGUCGCAUCUUGGGCGUGACACCUUGAGUCGCAAGUCGUACUGCAACCAGCUCGACGUUCAUAAGGUUCAUGACCAUCUUCAAGAGGAAUUACGUAAGUUGAACCUCCAUAUUGUUCCUCAGGGUGACCUUGUUCCCCCUCAUGAAGAGUUUCGCAAGAUGAACCUCCGUGUUGUUAAUCAGGGAUCCCUCAGUAACCUUGUGGGGACCCCAACUUACAAGUCGAGACUACCGUGCUCAGUGAUCCCAGAGAUCAAUGCUCACCGAACACAGAUACUGAAUAAAAGAGUCUUACAUCCAUACACAACGUUUGAUACAAUAAAUGACCGCUUUGGUCAAGCCUUACAUAUAUAGGGCCUUAUAGGCCAACACACCAAAUUGGACCAAUAACGGAAUUAUUGGUUGAAAGCAUGAACCCAUGCCAUCAGCCUUAACCUACAAGCAUUCUGACUAGGAAGCAUCCUAGCUCGCAAGAACGUCACCGAGUUAAUCUUCACCAUAUCCUGUUCUUUCAUACCUGGUGAAUGAAAUAACCAUUGGCAAGCCAAUGAGUACUUUGAAUGUACUCGCAAACAGCCCAUGACAUGAACAAUGAAAGUGAAGGAUAACAGUAUCAUGCAUAUUUAGUGUAACUCAUCUGGGUGGAAUGGUCGUGAUUAUGCAUCAACAUAAAGAAUUACUCUUUGAAGAACAGGUUACAGAUAUCAAUAUAUCUGUCGAGAGCGGAACCAUCCGGGUUCACCCUAUAUGCCAACUCACCGAACUUGGUCAUAUCCUCAAUAUGUCAGUUAAGGGCUAAACCAUCCGGGUUCACCCUAUAUGCCAAGUUACCGAACUUGGUCAUAUUAUUACUUCCAUAACAACACCUUUUCCAACACCACACACACACACACACUCACACACACUUGGUUUAUGCGGAAAUAUCAGGACGUAGUUUAGGCAGGAUUACCCAAAUGUCCUUGACCGUGGACACGGCUAUUCGAAUAGUUUACACUCUGAAGAGGUAGUACGAUGGACCCACGAGAUUCGGGAAACUUCCGUGUCAUCCAUGACUCGCGGUAUAUCACAUACCCGAGGUAAGUACCCGAUCAAUGCCUUUCCCCUGACGAUACUAGACAAAGAGAUCCACUCGAUUGGUACCCAGCCCACAUGUCGUACGUCUUACGAGCACCAACUCUGGACAUUAUCGACCAUGCGAGGACCAACGGUGUGACUGGAACUCAUAAAAAUGGCAUAGUCGUCCUACCCGGCACGACCCCAUCACGAGAGUGACCACAAAUCACUCCCGCCACUAGUAAUGUGGCUCUUUGCUAGCACCGACUAGAGUAAUUAACAUAGCCCCGUCCCAUAAGGGGUAACGUGGUCGUACUGGUAAGGUUGGGACGGCCGACACAUCGUAAAUCUAAUCCCAUUUCUGAAACCUUACUCACACAAAUACCGGGUGCAUCACUUCACGAAAAGUGACCACCUAACUCAUCAUCACCCUCGAGCAUUAGUGGCACCCGACGGGGUUUUCAUAAACUCUUACUUUGUGACAACAUCAUGCUUAUGAUAGAACUACUCCUACUUUUACUUGUCAACAUGGUAUGAGGAUGACCCUCAAGGGGUAGGGUCAAGCUCAAUGCAAAAUACUCCGGAGGAGCCUUCGGUAAAAUCAUAACAAAUGAUUACCGUCACUUAUGAUCAUAUGCAACGGGAAUACUUGCUAUUAUAACAUGCAAAGUAACAUAUGCUCAGUCAUGGUCAAAGGGCUGCUUGCCUUGCUGUGUUCGAGGUCUUCCGCUCCAACUCCGAAUACUUCGUCUACCGUCAACUAUCGUCGGAAACAAACAUAGUAAGCCACAUAGCAAGCAAAAUAAAAGUGCCACAAAAAAUAGAAGUUAUAUUUUUCUUGGACCUCUCUGCUCAUAAGAAAAAUACCUGAAGCUUGAUAUAGGAUACUUGGGUCAUCAAGGAUUUUUGAAUGGAUGGAAAGAGCAAUAUGUGAUCAUUGAAGAAGCCAACAGAAAUCAUUCUGUUAAAAAUGAGUGGAGGCACCCAUUUAACAAAGAAUGAUUUUAGAAAUAUUUAGGAAGUGGUUUCACUGGAUUUGGAGUUGGUAUGAAUAUACUAGGAAUUUUCUAAUAUGGAAUAAAUAGCAAUAGGAAGCUAUUUAUUAAUUGAACAGAAAUAUGUCACACAAAAAAUGUUGACCAGGGUUCUAAAAAUAGGGAAUGGUUUAAGAAGGCUCUGGAAAUUUGAAUCACUCCAAUUGGAGUAGAUUUGAAGCCUAUGGGGUUUUUGAAAGAUGGGGCUAAUAAUAUCCAGAUUUGGAUUUUAAAUAAAACACCACAGAAACAUGUCUUGGAAAAAUGUGCAAGGCACAUAAGUGGAUAGAGCUUGAAUUUAGGAACCUGUAGAAAUUUGAACCAAGUGAUUUGGAGUUAGAAUGAAUUUGUAAUGGAUUUUUGAAGAUUGCAGAUAAUGAAAAAGGGAAAGAUACUCAUCCUUCAAGCUAACUAGCGCCGAGGGCGCUAGUUAGGCGAAUGGGCCGGCCCAUAGCUCCAGCCGCGAGCAACCGGCCACGCGGGACGCGCACUCCUGGUAAUGCGCCACCGCGCGAGGGAGACGCCUGCCAGACGGGGAGCGACCACCUAAUCGAGCUGGCCCGGCUGGAGUGGCUGUCCAGGGAGACCCGGCUGCAGGGUCGUGUUCAACCUCCUGCCGUGGGGGAGGUAGGGGAGAUCCGACGAGGCUCCGGCGCCACAGGGCCCCAUCCAUGGUGGCUUGGCCAUUGGAGCGUUUAGGCAACCGCACCGCACCCGCCUGAGGUCCCAUUCCCGCCGGGAAACCACCAAGGUGAGCGGGCCUUGGCCGUGGCGCAACCAGCUUCGGUCGCAAGGAAGAGGGCGCCCCCUGGCCACCAGGGAGGAAGGAGGAAGGGAGGGAAGGGGCGGCGCCGGCUCGGGAGCCCCCAGGGGCAUAGAGGCGAGGGGAAGAGCCCCUGGUUGGCCGGCUCGAGAGGAAGCCUCCGGAGGGGCUUCGGCCAUGGCAGAAAGAGGAGGGAAGGAGGGAGUGGGAAGCUCGAGGAGGACCCGAGAUGGAUCCCAGGAGGAGAGGGAGAGCUUUUGGGAGGCUCAGGCGCUCGAGGAACGCUCAAAGUGGGGGAGGAGGAGCCGAGAAGGAUCUCGGAGCUCUCUGGUGCACCCAGGGCACGGCGACCACGCGUCCCUGAGCCACCUUGGAGUCUUGCUAGCGUCGUGGAGGGGUCAAAGGUGGAGGAAGGGAUGCUCUGGUGCUCUGGGGCACACUGCCGCUACGGAGCAUGAGCUAGGAGACAAGGAAAUGGUGCAGAGCACCAUUAGUGCAGGCUGACAACAUGGUCACCAUGGCCGCGCGUGUCCAGGGUGACCAUAUGACCUGCCAAAGAUGUCUCCCAUGCAAGGCAUGCUUGCCAGAGGUCACUGGUGGAGUUUGGAGCCAAGUGAAGAAGGUUUGAAUGGGUUCUUACUUUGAUUUAGUUUGCAGCAGCAAACUUAGUGCUAGCAAAACUAGUUUGGAGAGGGAGUUAAUUGAGGGAAAACAUUACCAACACUCUUGUUUAUAGAAGGACUACUAGCCUGCCAAAUUUCAGCUCAGGAAAGUGAGCCUAGCUAGUACUUGUAGUGCAAUCCUAUAUUUUAGCUAGAAAUCAACUUGAGGAGGUGCCGCUCAUUUUCUCGACAUGAGCAUGCCAUAUCUUGGUCCCAAAUGAAGUUUUGACACACUAGGGAGGCUCUGGAAAGAAUUGGGGGCCUUAGGUUAAGCAGAAGUGAAACAAGAGGGUAACAAUAGUGAUUCCAUGGGUAAAAUGAGAGAUAGUUACAAAGGGUCACCCUCCAAUAAUUGACCAGUGGCCAUGGGAAUGUUACUCGAGGUGAAAUACAACUAUGUGAGGCUGUGGUAGAAAGUUGAGCUCAAGGGUAAAAGUGCGAGGGGCAAAAGAAGCCCAUUUAGAGAGUGCACACAAGGUGUUUGAUCUAUGGUUAGGCUACCAGAUGGAUUCCAAUGGCUAUGAAACUUAACAGGGUCAAAUAAUAGAUGAAAAUAGGCUUGCACACCAAAUUUGGGAUUUGCUGGAGAAGUUUUCCAAUGUAGACUUGAAAAACCCUAGAAAUGGGCAGAAAUGGGCUUCUUCUUAGAACCUUAUUCAAAUAAAUUCCCACAAAUCCAAUAUUUUGUGUAGGGGCAUUAUUUGAGCAUUAAGGCAUGCACAAAAAGUUUGAGGUCAAUUGGAGAAACUUUAUAAUGUAAAGUUUACCAAAGUCAAAAAUCAACAGAGAGGGUUUUGAGGGUCUUAGGACAAGUUGUUUUAUUCUCCUUGGUGUACCACUUGGUGUGGAUGCCUUAUUGGAGUAUUAGAACAUGUCCACCAAAUUUGAGCACAAUUGGAGACACUUCACAAUGUAGAGUUGCUCAAAUUUGAUUCUGGACAGAUAGGGUUUUAGAGUGAUUAGGGGAGCCAAAUUAACUUGGAUUAAAAUGAAACUGGGCAAGAUCAUCAAGAAUAUCAUAUAUGACAUUCUAUAAUUUUACUAGAAUUUAUUGAGAAUAUUUCUAAUAGAAAUAUUUCAAAAGCUUGAAAUAGGCACGAAUGGUUUUGGAGGGAUUUGCCCUAUAUGUUGAACAUGACCAUGUGUUGAAACUCAUAAAUAUGGAAUAAAUAUAUCCACUGAGUUUUACUAAAUUUUCUUAAAUAUUUUGAAAGCAAUAAAAAUAACUUUCCCUCAUAGGAGACCAUUUCUGGCCUCACAAAAAGGCUUUUAAAUAAAAUAACAAAAUAACUUUUAAAAUAAUAAUAUGGUGGAUUUUGGAAGACAUUUUGAUAAUAGGUUUUAAAUAACAUAAUUGGUGCAAAAUAAAUUCCCUAAUUUGAGGACUUGUAGUACAAACCUAUCUCAGGGGUUUGAAGUUUUAAUUGAAAAAAUGCUUUUUGGUGAAAAUAAUAUUUGGUGAAAAUAGAUAUUUAUCCUAAACACAUGGCAUGAUCAUUAGGCGGGAGAUCCUGGAGUGAGGAGGUGAUUAGGAGGAUGGCUAGGGAUUAACGGGGAGCAAUCACAUGCAUUCAAGCAAACAGGCAAACAAUAGUCACUCCAAGCAUCAACAAGCAUUCACUAAUUUUUUUUAAUGGUCCUAAUUGAAUUAAGUUAAUUAGUCARRNGGNUGCGCUCCCUAGAAUCUCGUCCCCGAGAUUUCAGGCUAGGGUUGUGAGNUACAAAUCUUGAGUCGGAGGNNNNNNNNNNNNNNNNNNNNNNNNNNNNNNNNNNNNNNNNNNNNNNNNNNNNNNNNNNNNNNNNNNNNNNNNNNNNNNNNNNNNNNNNNNNNNNNNNNNNUGCUCAGCCUCGUCCCAUCUCCCUCGGGUCUGUGCCAUGAAGACGCGCGCGGGGACGUCCUAGAGCGGCGGCCGGGCGVGGGCCGCGAGGGCGCCAGGGCAGGGCGGGGGCGGGGGAGUUGCCCGGGGCCGCGCAGCCAGCGAAGAUGCUCUGGCGGGGGCACCACGAGGAGGCCAAGGCUGCGGGUCCGCGGCACCACGCGGGAGCGCGGAGGCGCGUCGGCGGGCCGCCUGCCACCACAGUCGCGAGAUGCGUGGCCGGACGCAAGGCAACGCCGGCAACGGAUGUCGUUCGAGCAAUCCCGCACGCAGUGCCGGUGAUCGAGGCACCGGAAGCAGAGGCCCGCGAGCUCCUCAGGGGACGGGCUGCGACGGCGCGAAGGCGAGGGCUUGGGGGGCGCUCCCGACGGCGAGCCUGCUGGAAGCCGUCGGCGUCGAGCACCGGUCCGCCCGAGACGCGGUGAACCUUCGAGCGGGGACCGAGGCGAUCCUUGGCGGGCUGGCGGGCAGCAGGUGCGACGCGUCCAGGUGCGGUGGCGGCCGGCGACGCUGCUGCGGCCGGCGGGGAGCGGGCGACAUCUCUGUACGAGCGCGCCGAAGACUUGCUCUCCGAACUGGACCAGCGAUCCCCGUAGGAGACGCGCUCGCCGGAGAGGGUCGUUCGGCGGUCGACAGGGUCAGUCACCACCGGGGCCAUGGCGCAGCGGUUGGGGGAGAGAGGGUGGGGCGCGGGGGAGCCUGCCGGCGGGGGGCGGCGGCAGCAGCGCGGCGAGGUGGCUAGACUAGGAGGAGGGAGCGGAGUGCGGAGAGGGAGCGGAGCGCGGAGCCAUACUUCUCUCUUGCUGACAUAAGUUCUCUCGGAGCUCUUCAUUGUGAUCUUGAGGAGAUGGUAAAAAAAUGAUUAGUGGAUUAAUUCUUGGAAAAUUUGGAUUUAGUUAGGUGAUUGUGAUAUUGAACUGUAUUUCAUGAUGAAUUAUGAGAUUUUAGGUGGAUUUAGUUACGUGAUUUAAUCUUGAAAGGAUAGUCUAAAAUGUUUGGUGGAUUAUGAGAUUUUAGGUAUGAUAGAUGAGCAUGGUGAUUAUUAUAUUGGUGGAUAAAUAUAUCUUUAAUUUUGUUUGAAACAUUUUGGAUUUAGUUAGGUGAUUGCAAUAUUAAAUCAAAUUUCACGAUGGAUUAUAAGGUUUUGGUGGAUUAUGUGAAAUUAGGUCUAGUAGGUGAGCUUGGCGGUUAUUAUAUUGGUGAAUAAGCAAUUUUUUAAUAAACUUGAGAAAAUUUGGAUUUAGGUAGGGGAUUGUGAUCUUGAACCAAAUUUCAUGAUGGAUUAUGAGAUUUUAGAUGAAUGUAGUUAGUUGAUUUUCAUCUUGAGAAGAUACUCAAAGAUAUUCGAUGGAUUAACUAAUCUUGAACAAUUUGAAUUUAGUUAGGCUUUUGCGAUAUUGAAUAUAAUUUCAUCAUGAUUUAUGUGGAUUUAGAUAACUUAUUAUGAUCUUGAGAAGAUGGUCAAAGAUGUUCGGUGGAUUUUAAGAUUUUAGGCCUAGUACAUGAGCAUGGUGACUAUUAUAUUGCACCCUCGAGAACCAAUUGAUUACCGGGAUCGCAUGCAAUGUCUCACGUAGUAGUACGAGUACCGACCGACGACGACCAACAAUAUCCAAAUUGACCACCACCACCAACUCUCUACUGAUGCUGAUUAAUCCAGAUACUACGUACUACUCGCUUGCUUGUCCUGAGAAAAGAAAUGCUGCUUAAACUGAUUGUUUUUGAAAAUCCCAUAAAUUGACAGUUAAAGUCCACUAAAAUGCCUUAAGAUAUUCAUUUUAACAUGUUCUGGGUAUCCCUCGUAGAUUCGAUGUUGAUUAAAUUUACCCAUUCUCUACGUACAAUUGGCAAUUCCUUGUUCACAUCUUUGUUAUACAAGCUCAUGUUCUUGGAAGGGAAUUUCUUUUCAUUUUGGGUGCUUAACAUUUUGCAUGUUUGAUGGUUGUUUACUCCUUUUGUAUAAUAUGGUUACCUGAAUCUCCCAUACUAGACUACCAGUGGUGUAGAUUUUUGAUAUUGAGGUUCAGAAAAUUAACUUUGGUUAGCUACCUUAUGGAGGGUUGUUUUUGGAGGAAAAGAAGACAAAGAUCGACGGAUCACCGCAUACAGCCUGCUAGAUAGCACAGCUGGGACAAACCUGAUGAUGAACAUCACUAUUUUCCUGAGAAGGUUAUUCAUCGUUCGCUGCUUACUAUAUUGCAUAUGUGAUGUUGACACUUAAUAUUGUUAUUCAUGACAGAUGUGCUUGUCCGGUAUCCAGCAUGUUGCACCGAAAAAAGAUGGUGCUAUAAUUGGCCAGUGACUAAGUUGUACCAUUCCUUGAACAAACUUAUAUUCGCUCGCGAUAAGAUGUCUAUGGCUCAUCUACAAGAUGGGAACAAAAGGAACAGCUUCAGCAUAGUAUGCUAUCUUAACUGCCACUGUACCUAUCAACCAGAUGAACUAAUUUGAAGAAUGCAGGCCACUGAAAAAAUUAAGCCUCUGUAACAUAGGGAGUCUCAGUGAUGAACCUUUGUGUGUUCUCGUUUUUUAUUUUGAGAGUGUUGUUUCUUUGAAAUGAGAGUGGAGUUCUUGCUCCUCCCCAAUCCCAAAAUCCUCAUGUAACUAUAUGCUACUCUCUGUAACUGCUUGAUGCUGUGAUAAUAUAUGUUCAGGCCGGCGUAAGCCCAUCGUUGUGAUAACUGCUCUAUAUUAUUC